RNAcentral lists this long non-coding RNA (78407 nucleotides) under Sorghum bicolor (sorghum). RNAcentral's name for it is "long non-coding RNA (SBIC_LNC008930)". The record is from RNAcentral. Lineage: Eukaryota; Viridiplantae; Streptophyta; Magnoliopsida; Poales; Poaceae.
UCCAGGGUGCUGCGUCACCUCAUUUUGGGCUGAUGGCCCAUGUAUCAAGUUGGGUCCAUUAGAGACGCAUCCUAGGGUUGGAGGACGACCCCAACACCUCUUUGGUCGUCAAUCCAUCUACUUAUAUCCCUCUAGAGUCGCCAUGGUCGUUGGGUUUUGUUUAGAUCAAGUUUAGCCUUCGCUACUUGCUUGUAGGCGCGCGUGCAGGAUCAGCCGCCCGUCUCCUUGUCUUCGGAACCCCAUUGUUGAUUCAGAUUCAGUUUGAAACCUUCAAUUCAUCUUGCAAAUUCAGUGCUUGUUUCCUCGUUCUUGCUAGUUCUUCGAUUGCUUGCAGGACGGGAGCCCUAGGGGCUGGUUGUCAUGCUCCACAAGAUCGUGACGGCUAUUGGACGUGGUGUAUCGGUUGCUAAGGCGCGGUCUUGAGGGCUGUAGUCAGGCCGUGAACGUCAUCUCCAUCCACCAAUCGAGUUAUCCCCGUCUCUCAUCAAAAGAUCGGGCAAAAACCCUAGCGGGUUCGCAUCAGUUGGUAAUCAGAGCAAGGUUCUUCGGUGAGAGACUUCUAAUCCUUUGUUGUUUUUAAUUAAUUUCCUAUAGUCCACAAAAGCCAAAAAAAAUAUAGUAGAUUAGUUUUUCCAUAAUCCUAUUAAACCUUUGUGCCUUGGCUAGUACCGUUUUAGUUAGGGCUUGUUGAAUUUGUGUUGCUUUGGUUUGUGUCGAGUUGCUGGUCUUAGUGUAGUUCUUUAGAGUUUCGAGUUCUUGUCACCAUCUAUACACAGUCGAGUAUUACCAUAUCUUCUCUCUGUUGAAUUUGUUGCGAAGUCCGAAUUGAACUGUAGUCUUGGUACGGAUCGAGUAGAGUUCCAAUCUGAGCUCCACCAACGUGAUAAAAAAAGAAGGAAACCGAGUAGAACUCGGCAAUAGGUGGAAUCCGUUUUGUGGUUGGUUCUGAGUGGAAACCGAAUAGAACUUGGAGUCCGCUUGUUAAUAUAGCCUGAACUCCGUCUAUGUGAGUCCUUCUGUGAUCCAAAAAGAAAGAUAACUCCAUACUUGUUCGGCCUUACUCUAGAGAGAGAGAGAAAAAAAGUGUGUGUAGCGAAUUGCUCUUUUGUAUUCUUUUGUUCAUAUAAUCAGUUUUUGAGGUUGCCCAAAAAAAAGAAAAAAAAGAAAAAAAAGAAAAGAGAAAAGAUUCAAAAAAAGGGGCUGUUUUUCAUAUUGAUUUUAGGUUUGUUCCACCUUGUUUUCGGGGGUGUGCUGUGGUUUUCCUUUGUGUCCAGGCUCGCGUCUCUAGCACGGUCUAGCCUAGGACCAGCACAGUACCAUCGUCGAACGCUUAUUCAGCUCACUUUUAUAACUAAUGUGGUGCUAGUUCGUUCCUUGUUUCAGCCCACCUAUAGCUCCUCAUACUCUACAGCUUGACAGGUCUUGUGCUGCAGCACCGAUACACUUCGUCCAUUGCUGUACACUUGUUGGCAGACGACCCCUCCUGUCAAACAAGGUAAGAAUUGGUAAGAACUUGUGUUACAGGUUGAGUGUGAGCGACUUGCUGUAGCUACAUCCUAGUAGUUGUAGGGAUUUUAUUUCUUCACUUGCCUUUUUGUUGUCUUUGUCUUUGAACCAUGCCAGGGGCAGAUGAUGGUAACGAAACACCACAUACACCUCGCACUAAGGGUAUCAUACAACAUUUUGAUAGGAAAGUGAAGCUGCACACAGAGGGACUUGAUAACGACUUGCAGGUGACAAAUGAAAAGCUGGGGCAGUUGGAGGCUACGCAGAUUGCUGCUCUCCUAAGGCGAUUUGAUGAUUUCCACACCGAAGAUAAAGAGAUGCAUAAAGAAGAAAAGGAGGGAGAUCGAGAGCAUGGUAGUCAUGAAGAUGACUACACUGGUGAUACUGAACAUGAUGAUCAAGACACUCGUGAUCGACGUCGCCUUCGUCACAACCGUAGAGGUAUGGGUGGCAACCGCCGAUGCGAGGUACACAAUAAUGAUGAUGCUUUCAGUAAGAUUAAAUUUAAGAUACCUCCUUUUGAUGGUAAAUAUGACCCUGGUGCUUACAUCACUUGGGAGAUUGCUGUUGAUCAAAAGUUUGCAUGUCAUGAAUUUCCUGAGACUACACGUGUUAGGGCUGCUACUAGUGAGUUUACAGAUUUUGCUUCUGUUUGGUGGAUAGAAUAUGGAAAGAAAAAUCCUAAUAACUUACCUAGAACUUGGGAUGCGCUGAAAAGGGCCAUGAGAGCUAGAUUUGUUCCAUCUUACUAUGCGCGUGAUAUGAUAAAUAAGUUGCAGCAAUUAAGACAAGGUGCUAAAAGUGUAGAAGAAUAUUAUCAGGAAUUACAAACGGGUAUGUUGCGUUGUAACCUAGAGGAGGAUGAGGAACCGGCUAUGGCUAGAUUUUUGGGUGGGUUAAAUCGGGAAAUUCAGGACAUCCUCGCUUACAAAGAAUACAAUAAUGUAACCCGUUUGUUUCAUCUUGCUUGUAAAGCUGAAAGGGAAGUGCAGGGACGACGUGCUAGCGCAAGGAGUAAUAUUUCUGCAGGGAAGGCUAAUUCAUGGCAGCAACGCAUGGCUUCAACUCCAUCUACACGUAUUUCUACUCCAUCAUCUAGUGACAAGACUCGAGCUGCCCCCACCAAUUCAGUUGCGAAGACGAUGCAAAAGCCUGCUGCGAGUACUUCAUCCGUGGCAUCGACGGGUAGAACAAGCAACAUACAAUGUCACCGGUGCAAGGGAUAUGGGCACAUGAUGCGUGACUGUCCAAACAAGCGAGUUAUGAUUGUCAGGGAUGAUGGUGAGUACUCAUCUGCUAGUGAUUUUGAUGAGGAUACGCUUGCACUGCUUGCGACUGACCAUGCAGGUAAUGAAGAUCAAAUAGAAGAACAUAUUAAUGCAGGUGAAGCGGACCACUAUGAGAGCUUGAUCGUGCAGUGAGUGCUUAGUGCACAAAUGGAGAUGGCGGAGCAAAAUCAGCGACACAUUUUAUUCCAAACAAAGUGUGUCAUCAAAGAGCGUUCUUGUCGCAUGAUCAUUGAUGGAGGUAGCUGCAACAACUUAGCAAGCAGCGAUAUGGUGCAGAAGCUUGCCCUCAACACCAAACCACACCCGCAUCCCUACUACAUCCAAUGGCUGAACAACAGUGGUAAGGCAAAGGUAACUAGACUUGUGAGAAUUAAUUUUUCCAUCGGAUCCUACAAAGAUAUUGUUUAAUGUGAUGUUGUGCCUAUGCAAGCUUGUAACAUUCUGCUAGGUAGACCUUGGCAAUUUGAUAGAGAUUCUAUGCAUCAUGGUAGAUCAAAUCAGUAUUCUUUUCUAUACCAUGAUCGCAAAAUUGUGUUGCAUCCUAUGUCCCCUGAAACUAUUAUGCAAACUGAUGUUGCUAGGGCUACUAAAGCAAAGGGCGAGAGCAAUAAAAAUGAUAAAUCUGUAAUUGGUAACAAAGAUGAGAUAAAACUGAAAGGACAUUGUAUGAUAGCUACCAAAUCAGAUAUUAAUGAGUUCAAUGCAUCCACUUCUGUUGCUUAUGCUGUGAUAUGCAAGGAUGCUUUGAUUUCAAUUGAGGAUAUGCAAUGUUCUUUGCCCCCUGCUGUUGCUAACGUUUUGCAGGAGUAUUCUGAUGUGUUUCCAAGUGAGGUACCAGCGGGGCUGCCUCCACUACGUGGGAUUGAGCACCAAAUUGAUCUUAUUCCUGGAGCAGUUUUGCCAAAUCGUGCACCAUACAGGACAAACCCGGAGGAAACAAAGGAAAUUCAGCGACAAGUGCAAGAACUACUAGACAAAGGUUAUGUCCGAGAAUCUCUUAGUCCUUGUGCUGUUCCAGUAAUUUUAGUGCCUAAGAAAGAUGGAACAUGGCGUAUGUGUGUUGAUUGUAGAGCUAUUAAUAAUAUCACCAUUCGAUAUCGACACCCUAUUCCACGAUUAGAUGAUAUGCUAGAUGAACUGAGUGGUGCUGUUGUGUUUUCAAAAGUUUAUUUACGUAGUGGGUACCACCAGAUUCGUAUGAAAUUGGGAGAUGAAUGGAAAACUGCUUUCAAAACUAAGUUCGGUUUGUAUGAGUGGUUAGUCAUGCCUUUUGGGUUAACUAAUGCACCUAGUACUUUCAUGAGAUUAAUGAACGAGGUCUUGCGUGCUUUCAUUGGGAAAUUUGUUGUCGUAUAUUUUGAUGACAUAUUGAUUUACAGCAAAUCAUUGGAUGAACAUCUUGAUCAUUUACGUGCUGUUUUUAAUGCACUACGCGAGGCACGUUUAUUUGGUAACCUUGAGAAGUGCACCUUUUGCACCGAUCGAGUGUCUUUUCUUGGUUAUGUUGUGACUCCACAGGGAAUUGGGGUUGAUCAAGCCAAGGUGGAAGCUAUACAGGGAUGGCCUGUCCCAAAUACUAUCACCCAGGUGCGAAGUUUCCUAGGACUUGCUGGAUUCUAUCGCUGUUUUGUGAAGGAUUUCAGCACCAUUGCUGCACCAUUGAAUGAGCUUACAAAGAAGGGGGUGCCUUUUGAUUGGGGCAAAGCACAAGAGAAUUCAUUCAACAUGUUGAAAGAUAAGUUAACUCAUGCACCUCUCCUACAACUUCCUGAUUUUAAUAAGACUUUUGAGCUUGAAUGUGAUGCUAGUGGAAUUGGUUUGGGAGGUGUUUUAUUACAAGAGGCAAAACCUAUUGCAUAUUUUAGUGAGAAAUUGAGUGGGCCUGUUCUCAAUUAUUCAACUUAUGAUAAAGAACUCUAUGCUCUUGUUAGAACAUUAGAGACAUGGCAGCAUUAUUUGUGGCCCAAAGAGUUUAUUAUCCAUUCUGAUCAUGAAUCUUUGAAACAUAUUCGUAGUCAAGGAAAACUGAAUCGUAGGCAUGCAAAGUGGGUUGAAUUUAUUGAAUCUUUUCCUUAUAUUAUUAAGCACAAGAAAGGGAAGGAAAAUAUUAUUGCUGAUGCUUUAUCAUGGAGAUAUACUUUGCUGAAUCAACUUGAUUACAAGAUAUUUGGGUUAGAAACAAUUAAAGACCAAUAUGUUCAUGAUGCUGAUUUUAGAGACGUGUUGCUGCAUUGUAAAGAUGGAAAAGGGUGGAAUAAAUUCAUCGUUAGUGAUGGGUUUGUGUUUAGAGCUAACAAGCUAUGCAUUCCAGCUAGCUCUGUUCGUUUGUUGUUGUUGCAGGAAGCGCAUGGAGGUGGCUUGAUGGGACAUUUUGGAGCAAAGAAGACCGAGGACAUACUUGCUGGUCAUUUCUUUUAGCCCAGGAUGAAGAGAGAUGUGGAGAGGUUUGUUGCUCGUUGCACAACAUGUCAAAAGGCAAAGUCACGGUUAAAUCCCCACGGUUUGUAUUUACCUCUUCCUGUUCCUAAUGCUCCUUGGGAGGAUAUAUCUAUGGAUUUUGUGUUGGGACUACCAAGUACUAGGAGGGGACGUGAUAGUGUGUUUGUGGUUGUUGAUAGAUUUUCUAAGAUGGCACAUUUCAUACCAUGUCAUAAAACUGAUGAUGCUACAAAUAUUGCUGAUUUGUUCUUUCGAGAAAUUGCUCGCUUACAUGGUGUGCCCAACACAAUUGUUUCUGAUCGUGAUGCUAAAUUUCUUAGUCAUUUUUGGAAGACUUUGUGGUUCAAAUUGGGGACUAAGCUUUUAUUUUCCACCACUUGUCAUCCCCAAACUGAUGGUCAAACUGAAGUUGUUAAUAGAACUUUAUCCACUAUGUUAAGGGCUGUUUUAAAGAAGAAUAUUAAGAUGUGGGAAGAAUGUUUGCCUCAUGUUGAGUUCGCCUAUAAUCGUUCAUUGCAUUCUACUACAAAAAUGUGUCCUUUUGAGAUUGUCUAUGGCUUCUUGCCACGUGCUCCUAUUGAUUUAAUGCCUUUGCCAAGUUCUGAAAAAAUAAAUUUUGAUGCUAAGCAACGUGCUGAAUUGAUGUUAAAAUUGCAUGAAGCCACUAAACAAAAUAUAGAGCGCAUGAAUGCUAAGUACAAAUGCGCUGGAGAUAAAGGUAGAAAGCAAUUGAUUCUGGAACCUGGGGAUUUGGUUUGGUUGCAUUUGCGAAAAGAUAGAUUUCCAGAACUGAGAAAAUCCAAAUUGAUGCCUAGAGCUGAUGGUCCUUUUAAAGUGCUGCAACGAAUUAAUGAGAAUGCAUAUAAGCUUGAUCUUCCUGCAGAUUUUGGGGUUAGUCCCACAUUUAACAUUGCAGAUUUGAAGCCUUAUUUGGGUGAGGAAGAUGAGCUUGAGUCGAGGACGACUCAAAUGCAAGAAAGGGAGGAUGAUGAGGACAUCAACACCAGCGAUACAUAUCCUACAUCCACCAGCGAUACAUAUCCUACAUCCUCUCCGACACAACCUAUAGCUGGUCCUCUUACUCGUGCUCGUGCCCGUCAACUCAACCUUCAAGUAAGUUCAGCUUUAAACUCUUGUCAAUCAUAUUUAGACAAUGGAGACACGUGCACUUUCCUGUUGCUCAGGAUUAAUGGACAAGAUCAGCAAGGGAAGGUUCAACUGCAUUCAGAAUUUGAGGCAACACCAACUUCAAGGGCUGAUUGCAUAUGGGAAGAGUGAUAACUUAACAAAGGUGAUUGGAGAUCAGGUCCAAGCCUCCACAACAUCCUCUAUCAAGUUACCUCGUUGUUUCUAAAGCAAGGAAACAAAGAGUCCAAACCCAACACGUUUUGGGAGUUGGAUUCGGACUGGAAAAUAACUCUAACUUGUAUGGAUCACCACGGCGUCAUAUGGACUCCAACUGGGACGUUCCUAUACUUGUUGGAAAGCUCAUGAAGUCUACUUUCCAAUGGGUCCAACCACAUAUCUAUGCAGCUUAUGAGUCGGGCGCAGUCCUUGUUUUCGUGCCGACACCUUUUUCUGUUUUGGUGCUGCGUCACCCUAUUUUGGACCAAUGGCCCAUGUAUCAAGUUGAGUCCAUUAGGGACGCGUCCUAGGGUUGGAGGAUGACUCUAGCACCCCUUUGGUCGUCCUCCCCUCUAUUUAUUUACAUCUAGAGCCGCCAUGAACAACUGGGUUUUGUUUAGAUCAAGUUUAGCCUUCGCUACUUGCUUGUAGGCGCGCGUGCAGGAUCAGCCGCCCGCCUCCUUGUCUUCGGAACCCCAUUGUUGAUUAAGAUUCAGUUUAAAACCUUCAAUUCAUCUUGCAAAUUCAGUGCUUGUUUCCUCGUUCUUGCUAGUCCUUCGAUUGCUUGCAGGACGGGAGACCUAGGGGCUGGUUGUCGCGCUCCGCAGGAUCGUGACGGCUGUUGGACGUGGUGUAUCGGUUGCUAAGGCGCGGUCUUGAGGGCUGUAGUCGGGCCGUGAACGUCAUCUCCAUCCACUAAUCGAGUUAUCCAGCGCCUCUCAUCGAAAGAUCAGGCCAAAAACCCUAGCGGGUUCGCAUCAUAGGUGCACAGUUUGCACCUAAUGCACCAUAGUCUAAGAAACCAUUUUGGACGCACUUGUUGGUACUCCUAGGUGAAGGGGCUCAAGUGGAUGCUCGGUUCGAUCUAUUUGGAGAUAGUGCUAAUCUUGAUGCAAGAUAGAUGCAUGGUCUGCAUGGAACGUACCAUAUGCUUAGAAAUUAAUUUGGACACACCCGAUAGAACUCUUUGAUGACGUGUGUCAUAUGGAAUCUCGCUUUGGUGUGCUUAGAGAUAGUAUUAGUUUUGGUGCAAGAUAUGUGCACGGUUUGCGCCUAAUGCACCAAAGUCUAAGAAACCAUUUUGGAAGCACCUGUUGGUACUCCUAGGUGAAGAGGCUCAAGUGGAGGCUCGGUUUGGUCUGUUUAGAGAUAGUGCUAAUCUUGAUGCAAGAUAGGUGCACGAUUUGCAUGGAACAUACCAUAUGCUCAGAAAUCAAUUUGGACGCACCAGAUGCAACUCCUAGAUGACAUGUGUCGUAUGGAAUCUCACUUCGGUCCGUUUAGAGACAGUGUUAGUUUCAGUGCAAGAUAGGUGCACGGUUUGCACCUAAUGCACCAUAGGAUAAGAAACUGUUUUGGACGCACCCGAUGGUACUCCUAGGUCAAGGGGCUAAAGUGAAAGCUCGGUUUGGUUUGUUUGGAGAUAGUGCUAAUCUUGAUGCAAGAUAGAUGCACGUUUUGCAUGGAACAUACGAUAUGCUCCGAAAUCAAUUAGGACGCACCUGAUAUAACUCCUUGAUGAUGUGUGUCAUAUGGAAUCUUGCUUCGGUUCGUUUAGAGACUGUUAGUUUUCGGUAGAAGAUAUGUGCAUGGUUUACGCCUAAUGCACCAUAAGCUAAGAAACCAUUUUAGACGCACUCGAUGGUACUCGUAGUUGAAGAGGCUCAAGUGGAGGCUCGAUUUGGUCUGUUCGGAUAUAGUGCUAAUCUUGACGCAAGAUAGUUGCACAGUUUGAAUGGAACGUACCGUAUGUUAAGAAAUCAAUUUGGACGCACCCAAUGGAACUCCUAGAUGACGUGUGUCAAAUGGAAUCUCGCUUCGCUCUAUUUGGAGACAAUGUUAGUUUCGAUGCAGAUAGGUGCAUAGUUUGUGCGUCAUGCACCAUAGUCUAAGAAACCAUUUUUGACGCACCUGUUGGUACUCCUAGAUGAAGAGGCUCAAGUGGAAGCUCCGUUCGGUCUGUUUGGAGAUAGUGCUAAUCUUGAUGCAAGAUAGGUGCACGGUUUGCAUGGAACAUACAAUAUGCUUGGAAAUCAAUGUGGAUGCACCCGAUGGAACUCCUUGAUGACGUGUGUCAUAUGGAAUCUCGCUUUGGUCUGUUUAGAAACAGUGUUAGUUUCGGUGCAAGAUAUGUGCAUGGUUUGUGCUUACUGCACCAUAGUCUAAGAAACCAUUUUGGAAGCACCUGUUGGUACUUCGGUGAAGAGGCUCAAGUGGAAGCUCGGUUUGAUCUGUUUGGAGAUAGUGCUAAUCUUGAUGCAAGAUAGGUGCAUGAUUUGCAAGGAACAUACCAUAUGCUUAAAAAUCAAUUUGGACGCACCCAAUGGAACUCCUAGAUGACGUGUGUCAUAUGGAAUCUUGCUUUUGUCCGUUUGUAGACAUUGUAAGUUUUAGUGCAAGAUAAUUGCAUAGUUUGCGCCUAAUGCACCAUAGUCUAAGAAACCAUUUUGGACGCACUAUUUGGUACUCUUGGAUGAAGAGGCCCAAGUGGAAGCUUGGUUCGGUCAGUUUGGAGAUAGUUCUAAUACUUAUGCAAGGUAGGUGCAUGCUUUGCAUGGAACAUACCAUAUGCUUGGAAAUCAAUUUGGAUGCACCCGAUGGACCUCCUUGAUGACGUGUGUCAUAUGGAAUCUUGAUUCGGUCCAUUUGGAGAUAUUGUUAGUUUUGGUGCAAGGUAGGUGCACAGUUUGCACCUAAUGCACCAUAGUCUAAGAAACCAUUUUGGACGCACUUGUUGGUACUCCUAGGUGAAGGGGCUCAAGUGGAUGCUCGGUUCGAUCUAUUUGGAGAUAGUGCUAAUCUUGAUGCAAGAUAGAUGCAUGGUCUGCAUGGAACGUACCAUAUGCUUAGAAAUUAAUUUGGACACACCCGAUAAAACUCUUUGAUGACGUGUGUCAUAUGGAAUCUCGCUUUGGUGUGCUUAGAGAUAGUAUUAGUUUCGAUGCAAGAUAUGUGCACGGUUUGCGCCUAAUGCACCAAAGUCUAAGAAAUCAUUUUGGAAGCACCUGUUGGUACUCCUAGGUGAAGAGGCUCAAGUGGAGGCUCGGUUUGGUCUGUUUAGAGAUAGUGCUAAUCUUGAUGCAAGAUAGGUGCACGAUUUGCAUGAAACAUACCAUAUGCUCAGAAAUCAAUUUGGACGCACCAGAUGGAACUCCUAGAUGACAUGUGUCGUAUGGAAUCUCACUCUGGUCCGUUUAGAGACAGUGUUAGUUUUAGUGCAAGAUAGGUGCACGGUUUGCACCUAAUGCACCAUAGGAUAAGAAACCGUUUUGGACGCACCCGAUGGUACUCCUAGGUCAUGGGGCUAAAGUGAAAGCUCGGUUUGGUCUGUUUGGAGAUAGUGCUAAUCUUGAUGCAAGAUAGAUGCACGGUUUGCAUGGAACAUACGAUAUGCUCAGAAAUCAAUUAGGACGCACCUAAUAUAACUCCUUGAUGAUGUGUGUCAUAUGGAAUCUUGCUUCGGUUCGUUUAGAGGCUGUUAGUUUUGGUAGAAGAUAUGAGCAUGGUUUACGCCUAAUGCACCAUAAGAUAAGAAACCAAUUUAGACGCACAUGAUGGUACUCAUAGUUGAAGAGGCUCAAGUGGAGGCUCGAUUUGGUCUGUUCGGAUAUAGUGCUAAUCUUGAUGCAAGAUAGUUGCACAGUUUGAAUGGAACGUACCAUAUGUUAAGAAAUCAAUUUGGACGCACCCAAUGGAACUCCUAGAUGACGUGUGUCACAUGGAAUCUCGCUUCGCUCUGUUUGGAGACAAUGUUAGUUUCGAUGCAGAUAGGUGCAUAGUUUGUGCGUAAUGCACCAUAGUCUAAGAAACCAUUUUUGACACACCUGUUUGUACUCCUAGAUGAAGAGGCUCAAGUGGAAGCUCGGUUCGGUCUGUUUGGAGAUAGUGCUAAUCUUGAUGCAAGAUAGGUGCACGGUUUGCAUGGAACAUACAAUAUGCUUGGAAAUCAAUGUGGAUGGACCCGAUGGAACUCCUUGAUGACGUGUGUCAUAUGGAAUCUCGCUUUGGUCUGUUUAGAAACAGUGUUAGUUUCGGUGCAAGAUAUGUGCAUGGUUUGUGCCUACUGCACCAUAGUCUAAGAAACCAUUUUGGAAGCACCUGUUGGUACUUCGGUGAAGAGGCUCAAGUGGAAGCUCGGUUUGAUCUGUUUGGAGAUAGUGCUAAUCUUGAUGCAAGAUAGGUGCAUGAUUUGCAAGGAACAUACCAUAUGCUUAAAAAUCAAUUUGGACGCACCCAAUGGAACUCCUAGAUGACGUGUGUCAUAUGGAAUCUUGCUUUUGUCCGUUUGUAGACAUUGUAAGUUUUAGUGCAAGAUAAUUGCACAGUUUGCGCCUAAUGCACCAUAGUCUAAGAAACCAUUUUGGACGCACUAUUUGGUACUCUUGGAUGAAGAGGCCCAUGUGGAAGCUUGGUUCGGUCAGUUUGGAGAUAGUGCUAAUACUUAUGCAAGGUAGGUGCACGAUUUGCAUGGAACAUACCAUAUGCUCAGAAAUCAAUUUGGACGCACCAGAUGGAACUCCUAGAUGACAUGUGUCGUAUGGAAUCUCACUUCGGUCUGUUUAGAGACAGUGUUAGUUUCUGUGCAAGAUAGGUACACUGUUUGCACCUAAUGCACCAUAAUAUAAGAAACCGUUUUGGACGGACUCGAUGGUACUCCUAGGUCAAGAGGCUAAAGUGAAAGCUCGGUUUGGUCUGUUUGGAGAUAGUCUAAUCUAAUCUUGAUGCAAGAUAGAUGCACGGUUUGCAUGGAACAUACAAUUUGCUCAGAAAUCAAUUAGGACGCACCUGAUAUAACUCCUUGAUGAUGUGUGUCAUAUGGAAUCUUGCUUCGGUUCAUUUAGAGACUGUUAGUUUUGGUAGAAGAUAUGUGCAUUGUAACACCCUAGGUGUUAAGCAUGCACUUAGUCUUACCAAAGCAUGCAUAAGCAUUCUCAUCAAUCAUAGCAUCACAUGAGCAUGUCAUCCAUCCAAAAAUGUGAUUUUAUGUGCUUUAUUCUAUGUGAUUUAAAUGUGUUAAAAAUAUGAUGCUUGCUUCUAAAAUUGUGAAAUAUUCAAACUAGGUUGAAUUGUGUGCAAGAAGAUUUAAGAAUGUUUUUGUACAAUUUUUGGAGCCAUAGAAUUUGAGAAAUGGAAUUUAUACAAAAUUCCCCAAAAUGAAUUUAUUUGAAAACCUAGAAGUAGUUUUAAUUUGUAAUUCAAAUUCUAAUUGGAAUUUGAUCUUGCUUAUUAAAACAAAGUGGUAGGAUUUUUAUCUUGGAACAACUUUCAUUUUGGGAGAAAAGGGUGAAAAUGAUUUUAAAGUGGUCCAAAUAAAUUUAGAAAGAAUUGGAGAAAAGAAUUUCAAAAAAAAGAAAAGGGGACAGGCGCUGCUGGGCCAACCCGCCUCCCUUUCGGCCCAGCCAGCAGCCCGGCCUGCCUCCCCCUCCCCUCUCUCUCCCGCGCGCGGUGCCCGCCUCGCCCCAUCCAGCGACGGCCACGUGGCGGCCGCACGCCGGCGUUGGGCGCGCCGCGGCCGGCCACCUCCACCCCCCUGGUCGGGACGCCGACCCACGCCCCCAGACCACUCCCUCCAUUCUGUCGCCCGUGCCUCUCCCUCCUCCCUCCGUCCGCGCAGCAGCAACAGCCGCAGUUCCGCCGCGCGCCAUUGCCGGAGCAAGCCCCGCCGCUCGCCGCCGGCCGCACCAGAGCUUUAAGCUCGACGCCAAGAGCACCAGCGCACUCGCCGUCGCCGCGGUAAGCCCCUGCGUGCGCUCUACCGAGGUGAGAAGCAGCCGUGCACCGUGAAUCGCUCACCGGAGUGCCUCUGCGGGUGUGGAUCUGGGUGCGUUUAGCAUUUUGCGUCGGUUUUCUUAAAUAAAUGUUUUCCAGAAAUUGAUUUAAAACUUGUAAAAUCCAUAUCUUGAGUUCUACAGCUCCAAAUCUGGUGAAAUAAAUUUUGGUGUGCUCUCUAUUCUCAGAUCUACAGUUUGAUGUAAUUGCAUGUGAUGUUUGAAUAACUUUUCUGUAUAAAUAUAUUUAAUUCAUGUUUUUGCUGGAUUUGGAAAAUGCAUAGUAAAUAAAAUAUGACUCAGAAAAAUGUGAAACUUGUUUUGUUGGCUCUGCAUGUAUGUUUAGUCACUUUGGAAAAUGUUGCUACACAUUAUUUGGUGUAUAAAUGAAUUUAUAGUGAUUUAAAUGCUUGCAUGGUAGUGGUUUAUGAUUUUUAAUAAAAAUUUGGAUCAUGCAAUUAAUCUGGUAAUUUUUGUGGGUGUUUCUGAUGAUAUUAGGCAAAUUAUAAAAAUAUGAAAUCUGCUGUUUGACACUUAUACCAGAGUAGAGUAAUUGUACUUGCCUUUAUUAAUUAAUCUUGUGAUUUUUGUAGCUCAAAAUAAGUGUCCAAAAAUUAUGAAAAAUUUGUUGUGGACUUUAUGUUUGACUGGUAGUCUCCUGUAAAUUUUUGUGGAAUUUAUUGAUAAACAGAAAUGCAUGCUAAUUUUGAUGGGCCUAGAAAUGAAUAAAGAAAUUAUGAAUUGUUAUAUAUGGGUUAAAUAGAAUAAAAGGGGUUUGGUGUAUCUUUGAAGCAUCUUGUGAGUUGCUGGUUACACUUGAAGACAAUUUUUAGAAGAGAAUGGAAUAGAUGUUUAAUUCAAUUGCAUGUUCUUGGAUGAUGUUGACUACCUUGUAAAUGAUCACAUAAAUCAUCCAUACAUCAUGUCAUAGUCAUCUGGUAUUCUCUCGCAUGAGCAUUUCACCCCGGGCAUCUCGCACUCAACUCAUGAGCACACAUGCAUCAUACAGGCUCGCAAGAGAACGAGGUGGGACCUGAGGAGCCAGAGGAGACCCAGGAGCAGGAACCUCUGGGAGCACCGAAACCCGAAGAAAAGCUACAGGAGUGUCCGGAUCACAGACCCAGCACGUUUGAGAAAGGCAAGCCCCGGAGCAUUCUAAGUCUCCCUAUUCUCGCUAACUUACAUGAUAUAUUAUGCUUGUUCUACUAUAUUGCAUUUAAGUGAUAGGAAUUGGUUGAUACUGUUGAUGCAUAUGUACUCUUUGAUAUCACCAUCCGUUUAUCUGCCUUGUCCUAUGUAGAUAGGCACGGAGUCUGUGCUUAGCUUGCUUAGCCCGGUAGAAGUCGUGUGAUCUCCUGUCACCAGCGAGAUAUAGUUGGAUACCUGCUUGAUUAACCGGUGAUUGCUUUGGGAAAAGAAUAACCAAGUGUGGAGUGGAAAUUUGAGACCGGGCAGGGUCUUAUGGUGGGUUGACUAUAGUGCCCCUGCCUGUGUCGAUUAAGGACCGAUCGUUGACGGCCCUCUGGUCAUGUUGAACACAUGCCCCACAUUUAGCUGGAAGGAUAAGUCGUUCCGACCGCGAAGCCUGAGCACUAUCCUGGCCGGGAAUCGGCCCGAUGUACGUGCUGUUUGGUGAUGGUUGAGGAGAACGAUGAGGGCGCGGCGCGCAACCUUGGUAUACCUUGGAUACCUCGGUCGCCGGAACAGUCCUCGGGUACGGGCGCUUCCUGUCGAGCCCACGAAUUGGUCCUGGAUAGUGCAAUACGGUGAUCUGUAGCUCACUUGAUUAGUGAGUGUGGUUUGUGUGGGGAAUAAACUCGUCAGCUGGUUAGAAAUCGAUUCGAAUCGCCAUCGCUCCUGGAUAGUGAGCACUUGACUUGAGCCCUGUCCUCGUAGUAAGGACUAUGGAACACUUGGGUUAUAAUGAUAAAUGGUUUUAUGAAUGCUAUGAUGAGGUACCAUCAUAUCACUAUACUUGCUUGUAAUAGUGCAGGUGCAAACCUAGAUAAUAGGUAAUGAUACUUUCAACUUGAGCAAAUUAAAAGAAGAAAGAUUUAUGUAGGUUAUGUUAAUAGAAUCUUGUUGUUAUGCAAAAAGGUUGUCAGCUACCCCACUAUAUAGCCUUCAUGAUCCUUGAAGAGUCUUUAUUUUGAGUUUAUGACGGGUAAGUCUAGCUGAGUACAUUCUCGUACUCAGGGUUCUACUCCCAUGUUGUUUUGCAGAUGGUCAAAUGUACUAUGGUUAUUGCAUCCUAUGCCUGUACCCAGCUAUGGGUGAUGACUAGACCAAGGGCGAUGGUCACUCCGUCUUUUCUUUUGUUGUUGUGGGAAUGACCAAAACUAUGGCACUGUAUCAGACUAAGUGUGUGUGUGUGUUAUUUUCAACUAUGAAGCUUCCGCUACCUGUGAACUUGGUUUGUAAUAACUUUAAGCACUCCGAUGUUUCCGAUGAAUGUUUUCAAACUGGAUGUAACUGUGAAUGGUGACCGCUGAACUUAUUACGAUCUUGGUUGUAUGUAUGAUAUGUGGUUUGAAAUCCUUCGAGAUUUCACGGACUACCGGGAUUAUAUGGGUUUAAGCUGGAUGGUUUGACUAUGCAAAUGGUCGCUAUCAGGCUUAAUCUCUUAUAAUUUGGGCGGUUCUGUUACAGCUGGUAUCGGAGCAAGGUUUAGCGAGUUACUGUUCAUAAGUACGUUCUGAACUAAAUCUAAACCGGUUUAAUAAAAGAUUCUUAUUAAUGAUAAUCAAGGUGUCAACUAAGUUUUUGGAAAAACUAUCUCGUGUGCCAUGGUCAUAUCCUUUAUGCCCAGUUAAGGACUCUAAGGUGGCUAGUUAAGUACUGACUUGGGGGUUAAUGCAUCAUAUUUCUAUUUCGUCGCUCAUACGGCGUGCAAUAGUAUGAGUACCAUUCAUUUGAGUGGUAAUGUAUGGAUCAAUUUUUCCUCUACGCCCCGGUAAGUGGGAGCUGUGAGAGCAUGAUCAGAUACACUGCCGGUCUAGGGGAGUGUUGUUAGGUGCUGUGUCAUGCACACAUGUUUUGGUGUGCUUGGGAAUAGUACCACAUGUUGGGAGUUCCGUCCUGAGAGGCGAUGCCGUCAUUAGGGCGAUGAUGUGGGUAGUAACACAUCAUAUGCAUGGAUGGGUGUCUGUGUAUGUGGGGUGUAUAGCUUUAAAUUCUUGUUCUGCAUGAUCAUACUAUGGGUGGGCUGAAAUGAGUUUUUUGCAGGUACACUAACCACGUUAGAGCGCUAGUUACGUUAUGAGGGAACGCUGUGUGCCACCGCAUAUACCGCUUAGUGUUAACUUUUGUUUCUAAGUUUGUGAGAUCGUAAGUUCAUGCAGGCAUCAUGUUCAUUUCAUAUCAUUGCUUACUUUACCCCUUAAGUUAAUUUGUCCCAAUUCUAAAUAAAAUAAUUAAAGAUAAUCCUCAAUCUUACCCAAGGUAUUCCCUUUGCAGCAGAUGGCACGCACUAGGCUCACCGCUUGUAAGUCCACUGGUGGGCGGGCCCCUCGCCAUCCGUUGGCAGCCAGGAGCUCACGACAUAAGAGCAAGUUCCUGGAGGAGUUUGGGAUGCCUACUUUCCUUUGGAGGGUGCUCAGUUCGAUGGGGUAUCCCAAAGGAAGGGAGCCUCGCUACUAUUGGGACAAGGAGCAGCUUGGUGACGGGACCCUGGUGGGGAUCGAGGCAGUGGUUCCUACCAGUGGAGGUGACCCCGCCUGGGGCGGCUGGGUGUACGAGUCCCGAGGUGCCACGCCCUUCCACGAUGCCAGCAGGGCAGCUUUCGCCGUUCUGAGGGACCUCAUGGAGAGGUUUUCACAGGUGCUGGCCCACGCCUUCACUGGGGUGUUUCCCCGGGGUGACCCCUACACUUCGGUGUGGGAUCAGUCCGAGGUGAACGCUCUAGAGAGGAGUGCGGAUGAGGACCAGCACAGUGACAACACAGCUAUGAGUGCUAUGUACGCUUUGAUGAAGACCUAUGGAGGCCUGGAGCAUUGUUUGGGUCGCUUGUCCGGGUCUCUUCUCACUGUCCAGGAUGAGAAGGGCCUGCUGCAGCGUGAGUUCGACACUGAGGUUGAGAGGCUGCAGGCAGAGUUGGCCCGCGUGACCCGAGAGAGGGACCAGGCGGUCCAGAAGAACAGUGAGCUGAGCCAGGACUUGCUUGCAGUGCGAGAGCAGAGAGACAGGGUGACUACUGCUCACAGGAACUGCGAGCACAUGCUAGUCCAUGUGCUUGGUCAGAGGAAUGAAGCCUGGCACGAGGAGGACACUUUGAGGGCCCGACAGCUAGAGCUUGAGCAGCAGCUAGCUAAUGCUGAGGAGUACAAUGAGAACUUGCAUGAGGAGAUCCACCAGCUGCAUAAUCAGCUCCACCCUCACCCCCUGCCUAGAGCAGCUAAGCUAGACUCUGAGGACGAGAUGGAUGUGGAUCCCGAGAUAGGAGCAGCUGCUAGUGGAGAUGAAGACGAGGAGGGCUCCGGCAUGGACAGUGACCAUAGCGAGUAGAUGCUAGGGCUCUAGAGCUAGUCCUUCUUCUUUUGUUGUUGUUGUUGCAUGGCAUGUCUUGUACUUUUGGAUCUGGGCUAUAUAAAACUUUAUGAGAUGACGCUGAAAGUCCAGUGUAUGUAUGCUAGCAAGUUUGGAUGUUUGCGAACAUUGUUGCUUGAAUGUUAAGUAAUCCGUUAGUGAUGUUGUGCGUGGAUGAUGAAUUGUUGUGCCUCUGUUUAUUGUGCGAAUUUAUUCCCUCAGUAAAUUCAGUACGACAUGAUUCUACACAAGUCUACCGUUGAUGGCAACUCCUAACAAUUGCUUAUCAUUGACGUAUGCAGAUGGUGCAAACACGUGGCGGGGGUAACAGCAACCCGGGUCUUGGAGCAGGUACAUCCGGAGGUGGGGCUCGACGGAAUGAGGACAGAGCACCAUCACCGCCACCACCACCACCUCCUCCGCAUACUACAGAUGUGUUUUUCGCGUAGUUUCUGGGGAGUCAACGCAACAUGGAACAAAUGCAGCGCAAUAUGGAAGAGGCCCUGCGCAACAUAGCGGACAACACCCGUCGUGGGGAUAACCAGGGCGGUCGUGAAGUCAAUCAGUACAGCUCUUUCAAAGACUUCAUGCAUACCAAGCCACCUGUCUUCAAGGAGGCUUUGGAACCGCUUGAGGCGGAUGAGUGGAUCAACACCAUGGAGCAGAAGUUUUGUCUUCUUCGGAUGACAGAAGAACUUAAGGCUAAGUAUGUGGCACACCAGUUGCAGGGACCCGCUGGGAUUUGGUGGUCCCAUCACCGUACUACCUACCCAGAGGGGACCCCAAUCACCUGGAACCGCUUCACCAUCGCUUUCCGAGGAAAUUACAUUCCUCCGGGUGUGGUGGAAAUGAAGGUUGGGGAGUUCAUGAGGCUGUCUCAGGGGACGAAAUCUGUAAAGGAGUAUCUACACGCUUUCAACAAUCUCGCUCGCUACGCCCCUGAGUUUGUGAACACAGAGGCCAAGAAGAUUGCUAGUUUCUAGAGAGGCUUGAAUCCAAAGAUGCUGAAGACCAUGGGUACAGGAGCCAGGGCUACCUUCAAUGCCUAUAUCAGUGACUGUCUAACCCAGGAAAACAAUAACAACAGCUAUAGUGCAUCCAAGUCACGUAAGAGGGCUUUUGAAGCCGGGUCAUCCCAGCCCAGGGCACCAGUGGCGGGGCGACAGCAGUAUCGUCCUCCUGCCCUAGGUGCUAGGUUCCGGCCGCUGCAGAGAAGGAACACCGGACAUCCAACGCAGCAGAAGCCGUACAAGGUGGCGAUAGCUCCUGCCAAGCCAAAGGCAAUUCAAGCUGCGGCACCUGCCGCCAACAAUGUGCCCAAGGGUCCGUGCUACAACUGCCACAAGAUGGGGCACUUUGCCAAGGAAUGUCCCUACCCCAAGAGGCAACAGCCAACCUAUCCAGCUCGUGUACACCAUACCUCGAUAGAGAAGAUUCCGGAAGGAGAACCGGUAACAGCUGGUAUGUUCCCUGUCAACCAACAUCUUGCAGUUGUUUUGUUUGAUUCUGGAUCAUCGCAUUCAUUCAUGAGCCAAGCAUUUGCACAAAAGCAUGACCAGCCAGUUACUGAGUUGGGUUAUGGCUAUCGCAUCAGCUCAGCCGGGGCUGAUGUGUUGACUAACAAAAUAGUAACAGGAGUUACCUUGGAUAUCAGUGGCCGAAGAUUUCGUGUAAACCUUGUGGUCAUGCCAGGGCUGGCUCUGGAUGUCAUCAUUGGAAUGAAUAAGAUGGCUGACUGGGGUGCAGUUAUAGAUGCCGGGAAUAGAACUCUUUCCCUCAAAGACCCGCAGGGGGAAGGUGUGCUUCAGGUCAAGCUACCCCGACGGUUAGACUUCGCUAGUCUUUCAUGUGCAGUACAGGUGGUUCCACUAGAACACAUACCCGUGGUAUGUGAGUUCCCUGAUGUUUUUCCCGAGGAAUUGCCAGGACUUCCUCCAGAUAGGGAAGUAGAGUUUGCAAUCGAGUUGAUACCAGGUACAGCACCAAUAUCUAGAAGGCCGUACCGGAUGCCACCAAACGAACUCGCUGAGUUGAAGAAUCAACUAAAGGAAUUACUGGAUAAAGGGUUCAUCUGUCCAAGUUCGUCAGAAUGGGGUUGUCCGGCGUUGUUUGUGAAAAAGAAGGAUCAAUCGUUGCGCAUGUGCGUGGACUAUCGUCCACUCAAUGCAGUGACAAUCAAGUAUAAGUAUCCUUUGCCAAGGAUCGAUAUCUUAUUUGAUCAGUUGUCCAAGGCAAAAGUGUUUUCCAAGAUAGAUUUGAGAUCUGGGUAUCAUCAAAUCAAGAUUCGCCCGCAAGAUAUCCCGAAGACUACUUUUUCCACCAGAUAUGGGUUGUAUGAGUAUCUGGUCAUGUCCUUUGGGUUGACGAAUGCUCCUGCAUACUUCAUGUAUCUGAUGAAUUCAGUCUUUAUGCCAGAGUUAGAUAAGUUUGUUGUGGUGUUUAUCGAUGAUAUCCUGGUUUAUUCAGAAAAUGAGCAAGAUCACACCGAGCAUCUGAGAAUCGUGUUAACACGAUUACGAGAACAUCAGUUAUAUGCCAAGUUCAGCAAGUGUGAGUUCUGGUUGAAGAAAGUUCCUUUCCUAGGGCACAUUCUGUCUCAAGAAGGGAUUGCUGUGGAUCCGUCAAAAGUGCAGGAAGUCAUGGACUGGAAGGCACCAACUUCUGUCUCGGAAGUUAGAAGUUUUCUUGGUCUGGCCGGGUAUUAUUGUCGUUUCAUACCUGACUUCUCCAAGAUUGCUAAGCCGAUGACUAGUUUGCUACAAAAAGAUCAUAAGUUUGUCUGGACGGAGGGGUGUGAGCUAGCCUUCCGCACCUUGCGAAAGUUGCUAACCACCACUCCCGUUCUGGCACAACCCAAUAUUGAGAAGCCUUUUGAUGUGUUUUACGACGCGUCGAAAAGUGGCUUGGGGUGUGUGUUGAUGCAAGAUGGCAGAGUGAUAGCUUACGCUUCACGACAGUUGAGAAUGCACGAAGUCAACUACCCAACUCACGACCUCGAGUUAGCAGCAGUAGUGCAUGCUUUGAAGAUUUGGAGACACUAUUUGCUGGGAAAUAAGUGUCAUAUCUAUACCGAUCAUAAGAGUUUGAAGUAUAUCUUCACUCAGUCCGAGCUGAAUAUGAGGCAACGACGGUGGUUAGAGUUAAUCAAGGAUUAUGAUCUGGAGGUUCACUAUCAUCCAGGCAAAGCUAAUGUGGUAGCAGAUGCAUUGAGUCGCAAACCGCACUAUCAGGUGAUUCAACCGUUGUUUGAAGAUGGUUUCAAUCUCAUGCAUCCUGAAGUCUUAUGUCACAUACAGCUCAGUUGUUCACUUGAGAGUCAAGUCAUUGAAGGUCAGAAAACAGACAAGGGUAUUUUCCACAUCAAAGAGAAGAUCAAAGCUGACCCAAAAACUCAGUUUCGAGUUGAUGAGAAAGGGGUAUUGUGGUUUCAACAUCGGUUAGUAGUCCCGAAAGAUCGUGAAUUGAAGAAUCGCAUCAUGGAUGAAGCCCAUCUCUCUAAGCUUUCUAUUCAUCCUGGCAGUAGUAAAAUGUAUCAAGACCUAUGACCCCACUUUUGGUGGACCAAAAUGAAGAAAGAAAUAGCCGCAUAUGUGGCCCGUUGUGACACGUGUUGCAGAGUUAAGGCCAUCCACAUGAAACCUGCAGGUCUGUUACAACCAUUAUCAGUUCCAGAGUGGAAAUGGGAAGAGGUCAGUAUGGACUUUAUCACAGGUUUACCAACGACGAGGAAGGGGAAUGACUCGAUUUGGGUAAUCAUAGAUUGAUUGACUAAGUCGGCUCAUUUCAUUCCUGUGAAAACUCGUUACCGACCUCCUGAGUAUGCUGAUAUUUAUAUCGCAGAGAUCAUCAAGUUACAUGGCAUUCCCAAAACCAUCAUAUCGGAUAGAGGACCAUAGUUCACCGCUCACUUUUGGGAGCGAAUGCAUAAGAGUUUGGGGACCAGUCUAAUAAGAAGCACCGCGUAUCAUCCCCAGACCUCAGGUCAAACUGAGAGGCUAAAUCAAGUGUUAGAAGAUAUGUUGAGGGCCUGUGUACUAUCGUCCAAGGGAUCAUGGGAGUCAUGGUUACCUCUGGCUGAAUUCUCAUACAAUAACAGCUAUCAAGAGAGUAUCAAAAUGGCUCCGUUCGAAGCGUUGUAUGGUCGGAGAUGUAGAACUCCGUUAAACUGGGUUGAACCUGGUGAAAGGAGAUACUAUGGUAUCAACUUCGUGAACGAAGCGGAGAAAAAGGUGCAAAUCAUACGACAGCAUAUGCGGGCAGCCCAAUCACGACAAAAGAGUUAUGCUGAUAAGAGAAGAAGGCCACUUGAAUUCAAUAUAGGUGACUAUGUGUACCUCAAGGUUACGCCAAUGAAGAAAGUCCAACGUUUCCGAGUUCGAAGCAAGCUUGCACCCAGAUAUGUGGGACCGUACCAAAUACUAGAGAGGAAAGGCCCCGUGGCCUACAAGAUUCAGUUACUUGAAGAGUUGAGUUCAAUCUUUCCAGUCUUCCAUGUGUCCCAGCUACGGAAAUGUUUGAAAGUACCUGAGCAGAGGAUUGAACCUCGAGGGAUCAAAAUAAAAGCAGACUUAGAGUAUAAAGAGCAGCCAGUGGGGAUCGUAGAUACCAAGGAACGAGUAACCCAAAACAGAGUUGUCAAAACAUAAAGGUGGUGUGGAGUCAUCAUGACGAUAGGGAUGCCACCUGGGAAACCGAGGAUUAUCUAAAAAUAGUUUAUCCAAAAUUUCAUAAGAAAUGGUUAGUAACUCAAAUCUCGGGACGAGAUUUCCCUAAGGGGGGAAGGGCUGUAACACCCUAGGUGUUAAGCAUGCACUUAGUCUUACCAAAGCAUGCAUAAGCAUUCUCAUCAAGCAUAGCAUCACAUGAGCAUGUCAUCCAUCCAAAAAUGUGAUUUUAUGUGCUUUAUUCUAUGUGAUUUAAAUGUGUUAAAAAUAUGAUGCUUGCUUCUAAAAUUGUGAAAUAUUCAAACUAGGUUGAAUUGUGUGCAAGAAGAUUUAAGAAUGUUUUUGUACAAUUUUUGGAGCCAUAGACUUUGAGAAAGGGAAUUUAUACAAAAUUCCCCAAAAUGAAUUUAUUUAAAAACCUAGAACUAGUUUUAAUUUGUAAUUCAAAUUCUAACUGGAAUUUGAUCUUGCUUAUUAAAACAAAGUGGUAGGGUUUUUAUCUUGGAACAACUUUCAUUUUGGGAGAAAAGGGUGAAAAUGAUUUUAAAGUGGUCCAAAUGAAUUUAGAAAGAAUUGGAGAAAAGAAUUUCAAAAAAAAAGAAAAGGGGACAGGUGCUGCUGGGCCGACCCGCCUCCCUUUCGGCCCAGCCAGCAGCCCGGCCUGCCUCCCCCUCCCCUCUCUCUCCCGUGCGCGGCGCCCGCCUCGCCCCAUCCAGCGACGGCCACGUGGCGGCCGUACGCCGGCGUUGGGCGCACCGCGGCCGGCCACCUCCACCCCCCCUGGUCGGGACGCCGACCCGCGCCCCCAGACCACUCCCUCCGUUCUGUCACCCGCGCCUCUCCCUCCUCCCUCCGUCCGCGCAGCAGCAACAGCCGCAGUUCCGCCGCGCGCCAUUGCCGGAGCAAGCCCCGCCGCUCGCCGCCGGCCGCAGCAGAGCUUUAAGCUCGACGCCAAGAGCCCCAGCGCACUCGCCGUCGCCGCGGUAAGCCCCUGCGUGCGCUCUACCGAGGUGAGAAGCAGCCGUGCACUGUGAAUCGCUCACCGGAGUUGCUCUGACCUCGCCGGAGUGCUCCACCGCGACGGAUCUUGCUGUAUCCUGCCUCUUUUCGCUCGUUCUUUGGUGCACUAGGACGCUAGUGAGGUGAGGAAGCUCGGAGGGUCGUUUGCGCGCGCUCUACCGCACCAGAGCGGCCUGGCCACGGCGAGCAGCGCCGCCGUGCCACCAUGCACGCUCGUCGGAGGUGUUCCGGUCAUCCUCCGGCCAAUCCGAGGGUACCCCUGGAUGCGCCUCGCUGCGGGGAGCACGCUGGUGCUCACCCCGUGGCCGGAGACCUCGCCGUCGGCGAAAGCCGGCCGGCUGAAGCUCGGCCAGUGUGUUGCACGGCUGACCCGUGGGGUCACGGCCCCGGAUCCCACCUGUCGGCGCCUCUGCGGGUGUGGAUCUGGGUGAGUUUAGCAUUUUGCGUCGGUUUUCUUAAAUAAAUGUUUUCCAGAAAUUGAUUUAAAACUUGUAAAAUCCAUAUCUUGAGUUCUACAGCUCCAAAUCUGGUGAAAUAAAUUUUGGUGUGCUCUUUAUUCUCAGAUCUACAGUUUGAUGUAAUUCCAUGUCAUGUUUGAAUAACUUUUCUGUAUAAAUAUAUUUAAUCCAUAUUUUUGCUGGAUUUGGAAAAUGCAUAGUAAUUAAAAUAUGACUCAGAAAAAUGUGAAACUUGUUUUGUUGGCUCGGCAUGUAUGUUUAGUCACUAGGAAAAUGUUGCUACACAUUAUUUGGUGUAUAAAUGAAUUUAUAGUGAUUUAAAUGCUUGCAUGGCAGUGGUUUAUGAUUUUUAAUAAAAAUUUGGAUCAUGCAAUUAAUCUGGUAAUUUUUGUGGGUGUUUCUGAUGAUAUUAGGCAAAUUAUAAAAAUAUGAAAUAUGCUGUUUGACACUUAUACCAGAGUAGAGUAAUUGUACUUGCCUUUAUUAAUUAAUCUUGUGAUUUUUGUAGCUCAAAAUAAGUGUCCAAAAAUUAUGAAAAAUUUAUGGUGGACUUUAUGUUUGACUAGUAGUCUCCUGUAAGUUUUUGUGGAAUUUAUUGAUAAACAGAAAUGCAUGCUAAUUUUGAUGGGCCUAGAAAUGAAUAAAGAAAUUAUCAAUUGUUAUAUAUGGGUUAAAUAGAAUAAAAGGGGUUUGGUGUAUCUUUGAAGCAUCUUGUGAGUUGCUGGUUACACUUGAAGACAAUUUGUAGAAGAGAAUACAAUAGAUGUUUAAUUCAAUUGCAUGUUCUUGGAUGAUGUUGACUACCUUGUAAAUGAUCACAUAAAUCAUCCAUACAUCAUGUCAUAGUCAUCUGGUAUUCUCUCGCAUGAGCAUUUCACCCCGGGCAUCUCGCACUCCACUCAUGAGCACACAUGCAUCAUACAGGCUCGUAGGAGAACGAGGUGGGACCCGAGGAGCCAGAGGAGACCCAGGAGCAGGAACCUCUGGGAGCACCGGAACCCGGAGAAGAGCUACAGGAGUGUCCGGAUCACAGACCCAGCACGUUUGAGAAAGGCAAGCCCCGGAGCAUUCUAAGUCUCCCUAUUCUCGCUAACUUACAUGAUAUAUUAUGCUUGUUCUACUAUAUUGCAUUUAAGUGAUAGGAAUUGGUUGAUACCGUUGAUGCAUAUGUACUCCUUGAUAUCACCAUCCGUUUAUCUGCCUUGUCCUAUGUAGAUAGGCACAGAGUCUGUGCUUAGCUUGCUUAGCCCGGUAGAAGUCGGGUGAUCUCCUGUCACCUGCGAGAUAUAGUUGGAUACCUGCUUGAUUAAGCGGUGAUUGCUUUGGGAAAAGAUUAACCAAGUGUGGAGUGGAAAUUUCUGACCGGGCAGGGUCUUAUGGUGGGUUGACUAUAGUGCCUCUGCCUGUGUCGAUUAAGGACCGAUCGUUGACGGCCCUCUUGUCAUGUUGAACGCAUGCCCCACAUUUAGCUGGAAGGAUAAGUCGUUCCGACCGCGAAGCCUAAGCACUAUCCGGGCCGGGAAUCGGCCCGAUGUACGCGCUAGAUUGGUGAUGGUUGAGGAGAACGACGAGGGCGCGGCGCGCAACCAUGGUAUACCUUGGAUACCUCGGUCACUAGAACGGUCCUUGGGUACGGGCAGUGCCUGUCGAGCCCACGAAUUGGUCCUGGAUAGUGCAAUACGGUGAUCUGUAGCUCACUUGAUCAGUGAGUGUGGUUUGUGGGGGGGGAAUAAACUCGCCAGCUGGUUAGAAAUCGAUUCGAAUCGCCAUCGCUCCUGGAUAGUGAGCACUUGACUUGAGCCCUGUCCUCGUAGUAAGGACUAUGGAACACUUGGGUUAUAAUGAUAAAUGGUUUUAUGAAUGCUAUGAUGAGGUACCAUCAUAUCACUAUACUUGCUUGUAAUAGUGCAGGUGCAAACCUAGAUAAUAGGUAAUGAUACUUUCAACUUGAGCAAAUUAAAAGAAGAAAGAUUUAUGUAGGUUAUGUUAAUAGAAUCUUGCUGUUAUGUAAAAAGGUUGUCAGCUACCCCACUAUAUAGCCUUCACGAUCCUUGAAGAGUCUUUAUUUUGAGUUUAUGACGGGUAAGUCUAGCUGAGUACAUUCUCGUACUCAGGGUUCUACUCCCAUGUUGUUUUGCAGAUGGUCAAAUGUACUAUGGUUAUUGCAUCCUCUGCCUAUACCCAGCUAUGGGUGAUGACUAGACCAAGGGCGAUGGUCACUCCGUCUUUUCUUUUGCUGUUGUGGGAAUGACCAAAACUAUGGCACUGUAUCAGACUAAGUGUGUGUGUGUGUGUUAUUUUCAACUAUGAAGCUUCCGCUACCUGUGAACUUGGUUUGUAAUAACUAUAAGCACUCCGAUGUUUCCGAUGAAUGUUUUCGAACUGGAUGUAACUGUGAAUGGUGACCGCUGAACUUAUUACGAUCUUGGCUGUAUGUACGAUAUGUGGUUUGAAAUCCUUCGAGAUUUCACGGACUACCGGGAUUAUAUGGGUUUAAGCUGGAUGGUUUGACUAUGCAAAUGGUCGCUAUCAGGCUUAAUCUCUUAUAAUUUCGGCGGUUCUGUUACAUGCAUGGUUUACGCCUAAUGCACCAUAAGCUAAGAAACCAUUUUAGACGCACUCGAUGGUACUCGUAGUUGAAGAGGCUCAAGUGGAGGCUCGAUUUGGUCUGUUCGGAUAUAGUGCUAAUCUUGAUGCAAGAUAGUUGCACAGUUUGAAUGGAACGUACCAUAUGUUAAGAAAUCAAUUUGGACGCACCCAAUGGAACUCCUAGAUGACGUGUGUCACAUGGAAUCUCGCUUCGCUCUAUUUGGAGACAAUGUUAGUUUCGAUGCAGAUAGGUGCAUAGUUUGUGCCUAAUGCACCAUAGUCUAAGAAACCAUUUUUGACGCACCUGUUUGUACUCCUAGAUGAAGAGGCUCAAGUGGAAGCUCGGUUCGGUCUGUUUGGAGAUAGUGCUAAUCUUAAUGCAAGAUAGGUGCACGGUUUGCAUGGAACAUACAAUAUGCUUGGAAAUCAAUGUGGAUGCACCCAAUGGAACUCCUUAAUGACGUGUGUCAUAUGGAAUCUCGCUUUGGUCGGUUUAGAAACAGUGUUAGUUUCGGUGCAAGAUAUGUGCAUGGUUUGUUCCUACUGCACCAUAGUCUAAGAAACCAUUUUGGAAGCACCUGUUGGUACUUCGGUGAAGAUGCUCAAGUGGAAGCUCGGUUUGAUCUGUUUGGAGAUAGUGCGAAUCUUGAUGCAAUAUAGGUGCAUGAUUUGCAAGGAACAUACCAUAUGCUUAAAAAUCAAUUUGGACGUACCCUACGGAACUCCUAGCUGACGUGUGUCAUAUGGAAUCUUGCUUUUGUCCGUUUGUAGACAUUGUAAGUUUUAGUGCAAGAUAAUUACACAGUUUGCGCCUAAUGCACCAUAGUCUAAGAAACCAUUUUGGACACACUAUUUGGUACUCUUGGAUGAAGAGGCCCAAGUGGAAGCUUGGUUCGGUCAGUUUGGAGAUAGUGCUAAUACUUAUGCAAGGUAGGUGCAUGCUUUGCAUAGAACAUACCAUAUGCUUGGAAAUCAAUUUGGAUGCACCCGAUGGACCUCCUUGAUGACGUGUGUCAUAUGGAAUCUUGCUUCGGUCCAUUUGGAGAUAUUGUUAGUUUUGAUGCAAGAUAGGUGCACAGUUUGCACCUAAUGCACCAUAGUCUAAGAAACCAUUUUGGACGCACUUGUUGGUACUCCUAGGUGAAGGGGCUCAUGUGGAUGCUCGGUUCGAUCUAUUUGGAGAUAGUGCUAAUCUUGAUGCAAGAUAGAUGCAUGGUCUGCAUGGAACGUACCAUAUGCUUAGAAUUUAAUUUGGACACACCCGAUAAAACUCUUUGAUGACGUGUAUCAUAUGGAAUCUCGCUUUGGUGUGCUUAGAGAUAGUAUUAGUUUCGGUGCAAGAUAUGUGCACGGUUUGCGCCUAAUGCACCAAAGUCUAUGAAACCAUUUUGGAAGCACCUGUUGGUACUCCUAGGUGAAGAGGCUCAAGUGGAGGCUCGGUUUGGUCUGUUUAGAGAUAGUGCUAAUCUUGAUGCAAGAUAGGUGCACGAUUUGCAUGGAACAUACCAUAUGCUCAGAAAUCAAUUUGGACGCACUAGAUGGAACUCCUAGAUGACAUGUGUCGUAUGGAAUCUCACUUCGGUCCGUUUAGAGACAGUGUUAGUUUCAGUGCAAGAUAGGUGCACGGUUUGCACCUAAUGCACCAUAGGAUAAGAACCCGUUUUGGACGCACCCGAUGGUACUCCUAGGUCAAGGUGCUAAAGUGAAAGCUCGGUUUGGUCUGUUUGGAGAGAGUGCUAAUCUUUAUGCAAGAUAGAUGCUCGGUUUGCGUGGAACAUACGAUAUGCUCCGAAAUCAAUUAGGACGCACCUGAUAUAACUCCUUGAUGAUGUGUGUCAUAUGGAAUCUUGCUUCGGUUCAUUUAGAGACUGUUAAUUUUGGUAGAAGAUAUGUGCAUGGUUUACGCCUAAUGCACCAUAAGCUAAGAAACCAUUUUAGACGCACUCGAUGGUACUCGUAGUUGAAGAGGCUCAAGUGGAGGCUCGAUUUGGUCUGUUCGGAUAUAGUGCUAAUCUUGAUGCAAGAUAGUUGCACAGUUUGAAUGGAACGUACCAUAUGUCAACAAAUCAAUUUGGACGCACCCAAUGGAACUCCUAGAUGACGUGUGUCACAUGGAAUCUCGCUUCGCUCUGUUUGGAGACAAUGUUAGUUUCGAUGCAGAUAGGUGCAUAGUUUGUGCCUAAUGCACCAUAGUCUAAGAAACCAUUUUUGACGCACCUGUUUGUACUCCUAGAUGAAGAGGCUCAAGUGGAAGCUCGGUUCGGUCUGUUUGGAGAUAGUGCUAAUCUUGAUGCAAGAUAGGUGCACGGUUUGCAUGGAACAUACAAUAUGCUUGGAAAUCAAUGUGGAUGCACCCAAUGGAACUCCUUAAUGACGUGUGUCAUAUGGAAUCUCGCUUUGGUCGGUUUAGAAACAGUGUUAGUUUCGGUGCAAGAUAUGUGCAUGGUUUGUUCCUACUGCACCAUAGUCUAAGAAACCAUUUUGGAAGCACCUGUUGGUACUUCGGUGAAGAUGCUCAAGUGGAAGCUCGGUUUGAUCUGUUUGGAGAUAGUGCGAAUCUUGAUGCAAUAUAGGUGCAUGAUUUGCAAGGAACAUACCAUAUGCUUAAAAAUCAAUUUGGACGUACCCUACGGAACUCCUAGAUGACGUGUGUCAUAUGGAAUCUUGCUUUUGUCCGUUUGUAGACAUUGUAAGUUUUAGUGCAAGAUAAUUACACAGUUUGCGCCUAAUGCACCAUAGUCUAAGAAACCAUUUUGGACACACUAUUUGGUACUCUUGGAUGAAGAGGCCCAAGUGGAAGCUUGGUUCGGUCAGUUUGGAGAUAGUGCUAAUACUUAUGCAAGGUAGGUGCAUGCUUUGCAUAGAACAUACCAUAUGCUUGGAAAUCAAUUUGGAUGCACCCGAUGGACCUCCUUGAUGACGUGUGUCAUAUGGAAUCUUGCUUCGGUCCAUUUGGAGAUAUUGUUAGUUUUGAUGCAAGAUAGGUGCACAGUUUGCACCUAAUGCACCAUAGUCUAAGAAACCAUUUUGGACGCACUUGUUGGUACUCCUAGGUGAAGGGGCUCAUGUGGAUGCUCGGUUCGAUCUAUUUGGAGAUAGUGCUAAUCUUGAUGCAAGAUAGAUGCAUGGUCUGCAUGGAACGUACCAUAUGCUUAGAAUUUAAUUUGGACACACCCGAUAAAACUCUUUGAUGACGUGUAUCAUAUGGAAUCUCGCUUUGGUGUGCUUAGAGAUAGUAUUAGUUUCGGUGCAAGAUAUGUGCACGGUUUGCGCCUAAUGCACCAAAGUCUAUGAAACCAUUUUGGAAGCACCUGUUGGUACUCCUAGGUGAAGAGGCUCAAGUGGAGGCUCGGUUUGGUCUGUUUAGAGAUAGUGCUAAUCUUGAUGCAAGAUAGGUGCACGAUUUGCAUGGAACAUACCAUAUGCUCAGAAAUCAAUUUGGACGCACUAGAUGGAACUCCUAGAUGACAUGUGUCGUAUGGAAUCUCACUUCGGUCCGUUUAGAGACAGUGUUAGUUUCAGUGCAAGAUAGGUGCACGGUUUGCACCUAAUGCACCAUAGGAUAAGAACCCGUUUUGGACGCACCCGAUGGUACUCCUAGGUCAAGGUGCUAAAGUGAAAGCUCGGUUUGGUCUGUUUGGAGAGAGUGCUAAUCUUGAUGCAAGAUAGAUGCUCGGUUUGCGUGGAACAUACGAUAUGCUCCGAAAUCAAUUAGGACGCGCCUGAUAUAACUCCUUGAUGAUGUGUGUCAUAUGGAAUCUUGCUUCGGUUCAUUUAGAGACUGUUAAUUUUGGUAGAAGAUAUGUGCAUGGUUUACGCCUAAUGCACCAUAAGCUAAGAAACCAUUUUAGACGCACUCGAUGGUACUCGUAGUUGAAGAGGCUCAAGUGGAGGCUCGAUUUGGUCUGUUCGGAUAUAGUGCUAAUCUUGAUGCAAGAUAGUUGCACAGUUUGAAUGGAACGUACCAUAUGUUAAGAAAUCAAUUUGGACGCACCCAAUGGAACUCCUAGAUGACGUGUGUCACAUGGAAUCUCGCUUCGCUCUGUUUGGAGACAAUGUUAGUUUCGAUGCAGAUAGGUGCAUAGUUUGUGCCUAAUGCACCAUAGUCUAAGAAACCAUUUUUGACGCACCUGUUUGUACUCCUAGAUGAAGAGGCUCAAGUGGAAGCUCGGUUCGGUCUGUUUGGAGAUAGUGCUAAUCUUGAUGCAAGAUAGGUGCACGUUUGAAUGGAACAUACAAUAUGCUUGGAAAUCAAUGUGGAUGCACCCGAUGGAACUCCUUGAUGACGCGUGUCAUAUGGAAUCUCGCUUUGGUCUGUUUAGAAACAGUGUUAGUUUCGGUGCAAGAUAUGUGCAUGGUUUGUUCCUACUGCACCAUAGUCUAAGAAACCAUUUUGGAAGCACCUGUUGGUACUUCGGUGACGAUGCUCAAGUGGAAGCUCGGUUUGAUCUGUUUGGAGAUAGUGCUAAUCUUGANNNNNNNNNNNNNNNNNNNNNNNNNNNNNNNNNNNNNNNNNNNNNNNNNNNNNNNNNNNNNNNNNNNNNNNNNNNNNNNNNNNNNNNNNNNNNNNNNNNNUGUGUGUCAUAUGGAAUCUUGCUUCGGUUCGUUUAGAGACUGUUAGUUUUCGGUAGAAGAUAUGUGCAUGGUUUACGCCUAAUGCACCAUAAGCUAAGAAACCAUUUUAGACGCACUCGAUGGUACUCGUAGUUGAAGAGGCUCAAGUGGAGGCUCGAUUUGGUCUGUUCGGAUAUAGUGCUAAUCUUGACGCAAGAUAGUUGCACAGUUUGAAUGGAACGUACCGUAUGUUAAGAAAUCAAUUUGGACGCACCCAAUGGAACUCCUAGAUGACGUGUGUCAAAUGGAAUCUCGCUUCGCUCUAUUUGGAGACAAUGUUAGUUUCGAUGCAGAUAGGUGCAUAGUUUGUGCGUCAUGCACCAUAGUCUAAGAAACCAUUUUUGACGCACCUGUUGGUACUCCUAGAUGAAGAGGCUCAAGUGGAAGCUCCGUUCGGUCUGUUUGGAGAUAGUGCUAAUCUUGAUGCAAGAUAGGUGCACGGUUUGCAUGGAACAUACAAUAUGCUUGGAAAUCAAUGUGGAUGCACCCGAUGGAACUCCUUGAUGACGUGUGUCAUAUGGAAUCUCGCUUUGGUCUGUUUAGAAACAGUGUUAGUUUCGGUGCAAGAUAUGUGCAUGGUUUGUGCCUAAUGCACCAUAGGCUAAGAAACCAUUUUGGACGCACUCGAUGGUACUCCUAGGUGAAGAGGCUCAACUGUAAACUCGGUUCGGAAAUCAAUUUGGACGCACCCGUUGGAACUCCUAGAUGAGCUGUGUCAUAUGUAUUCUCACUUGGUCCAUUUAGAGACAGUGUUAGUUUCGGGGCGAGAUAGGCGUACAGUUUGCGCCUAAUGCACCAUAGGCUAAGAAAGCAUUUUGGAUGCACCCGAUGCUACUCCUAGGUAAAGGGGUUCAAGUGAAAUCUUUGUUUGGUCUAUUUGGAGAUAGUGCUAAUCUUGAUGCAAGAUAGGUGCACAUUUUGCAUGGAACGUACCAUAUGCUCAUAAAUCAAUUUGGACGCACCUGAUAGACUUCCUUGAUGAUGUGUGUCAUAUAGAAUCUUGCUUCGGUCUGUUUAGAGACAUUGUUAGUUUCGGUGCACGAUAGGUACACGGUUUGCGCCUAGUUCACCAUAGACUAAGAAACCAUUUUGGACACACCCGAUGGUACUUCUAUGUGAAGGGGCUCAAGUGGAAGCUUGGUUUGGUCUGUUUGGAGAUAGUGCUAAUCUUAAGGAAAGAUUGGUGCACGGUUUGCAUGGAACAUACCAUAUGCUCAAAAAUCAAUAUGGACGCACCUGAAAGAACUCCUAGAUGAUGUUUUUUGGUCCGUUUGGACACAGCGUUAGUUUCGGUGCAAGAUAAGUGCACGGUUUGCGCCUAACGCUCCAUAGGCUAAGAAACCAUUUUGGACGCACCCGAUGGUUCUCCUAGGUAAAGGGGCUCAAUGAAAGCUACGUUUUGUCUGUUUGGAGAUUGUCCUAAUCUUCAUAUAAGAUAGGUGCAUGGUUUGCAUGUAACGUACCAUAUGCUUGGAAAUCAAUUUGGACGCACCCAAUAGAACUUCUAGAUGACAUGUGUCAUAUGGAAUCUCGCUUCGGUCUGUUUGAAGACAGUGUCAGUUUCGGUGCAAGAUAGGAGUACCGUUUGCGCCUAAUGCACCAUAGGCUAAGAAACCAUUUUGGAUGCACCCAAUGGUACACCUUGGUAGAGAUGCUCGAGUGAAAGCUUGGUUUGGUCUGUUUGGAGAUAGUGCUAAUCUUGAUGCAAGAUAGGUGCAUGGUUUGCAUGGAACGUACCAUAUGCUCAAAAAUCAAAUUGGACGCACGCGAUAGAACUCCUUGAUGACGUGUGUCGUAUGGAAUCUUGCUUCAGUCCGUUUGGAGACAGUGUUAGUUUUAGUGCAAGAUAUGUGCACGGUUUGUGCCUAGUGCACCAUAGGCUAAGAAACCAUUUUAGACGCACCCGAUGGUACUCCUAGGUGAAUAGGCUUAAGUGGAAGCUCGGUUUAGUCUGUUCAGAGGUAGUGCUAAUAUUGAUGCAAGAUAGGUGCAUGGUUUAAAUGGAACGUACGAUAUGCUCGAAAAUCAAUUUGGACAGACCAAAUGGAACUCCUAGAUGACGUGUGUCAUAUGGAAUCUUGCUUGGGUCCGUUUAGAGACAUUGUUAGUUUUGGUGCAAGAUAGGUACACAGGCCUAAUGCACCAUAGGCUAAGAAACCAUUUUGGACACACCUGAUGGUACUCCUGGUGAAGGGGCUCAAGUGGAAGCUUGGUUUGGUCUGUUUGAAGAUAGUGCUAAUCUUGAGGAAAGAUAGCUGCACGGUUUGCAUGGAACGUACCAUAUGCUCAGAAAUCAAUUUGGACGCACCUGAUGGAACUCCUUGAGGACGUGUGUCAUAUGGAAUCUCACUUUGGUCCAUUUGGAGAUUAUGUUAGUUUCGGUGCAAGAUAGGUGCACGGUUUGCGCCUAAUGCACUAUAGGCUUAGAAACCGUUGUGGAAGCACCCAAUGGUACUCCUAGGUGAAGAGGCUCAAGUAAAGCUCGAUACGGUCUAUUUGGAGAUAGUGCUAAUCUUCAUGUAAGAUAGGUGCACAGUUUGCAUGGAACAUACCAUAUGCUUAAAAAUCAAUUUGCACGCACUCGAUAGAACUCCUAGAUGAUGUGUGUUAUGUGGAAUCUCGCUUUGGUCUAUUCGGAGAUAGUGUUAGUUUCGAUGCAAGAUAGGUGCAUGGUUUGCUCCUAAUGAACUAUCUCUAAGAAACCAUUUUAGACACACCCAAUGGUACUCCUAGGUGAAGAGGCUCAAGUAGAAUCUCGGUUUGGUCUGUUUGGAGAUAUUGUAAAUCUUGAUGCAAGAUAGUUGCACGGUUUGCAUGAAACAUACCAUAUGCUCAGAAAUCAAUUUGGACACACCCGAUGGAACUUGUAGAUGACGUGUGUCAUAUGUAAUCUCGCUUUGGUCCGUUUGGAGAUAGUGUUUGUUUCGGUGCAAGCUAGGUGCACAGUUUGCGCCUAAUGCAGCAUAGGCUAAGAAACCAAUUUGGACACACCCGAUGGUACUCUGAGGUGAAGGGGCACAAGUGGAAGCUUGGUUUGGUCUGUUUGGAGAUAGUGCUAAUAUUUAGGAAAUAUUGGUGCCCGUUUGCAUGGAACGUACCAUAUGCUCGGAAAUCAAUUUAGACGCACUUGAUGGAACUCCUAGAUGACGUGUGUCAUAUGGAUUCUCGCUUUGGUCCGUUUGGGGACAGUGUUAGUUUCGGUGCAAGAUAGGUGCAAGGUUUGUGCCUAAUGCACCAUAGGCUAUGAAACCAUUUUGGACGCACUUGAUGGUACUCCUAGGUGAAGAGGCUCAACUGUAAGCUCGGUUCGGAAAUCAAUUUGGACGCACCCGUUGGAACUCCUAGAUGAGGUGUGUCAUAUGUAUUCUCACAUUGGUCCGUUUGGAGACAGUGUUAGUUUUGGGGCAAGAUAGGCGUACAGUUUGCGCCUAAUGCACCAUAGGCUAAGAAAGCAUUUUGGAUGCACCCGAUGGUACUCCUAGGUAAAGGGGUUCAAGUGAAAUCUUGGUUUGGUCUAUUUGGAGAUAGUGCUAAUCUUGAUGCAAGAUAGGUGCACAAUUUGCAUGGAACGCACCAUAUGCUCAAAAAUCUAUUUGGACGCACCUGAUAGAACUCCUUGAUGACGUGUGUCAUAUGGAAUCUUGCUUCGGUCUGUUUAGAGACAUUGUUAGUUUCGGUGCAAGAUAGGUACACGGUUUGCGCCUAGUUCACCACACACUAAGAAACAAUUUUGGACACACUCGAUGGUACUUCUAUGUGAAGGGGCUCAAGUGGAAGCUUGGUUUGGUCUGUUUGGAGAUAGUGCUAAUCUUAAGGAAAGACAGGUGCAUGGUUUGCAUGGAACAUACCAUAUGCUCAAAAAUCAAUAUGGACGCACCUGAUAGAACUCCUAGAUGAUGUUUGGAGAUAGUGUUAGUUUUAGUGCAAGAUAGGUGUAUGGUUUGCACCUAAUGCACCAUACUCUAAGAAAACAUUUUCGACACACUCGAUGGUACUCCUAGGUGAAGAGGCUCAAGUGGAAGCUCGGUUCGGUCUGUUUGGAGAUAGUGCUAAUCUUGAUGGAAGAUAGAUGCACAGUUUGCAAGGAACGUACCAUAUGCUAAGAGAUCAAUUUGGACACCCGAUGGAACUCCUAGAUGACGUGUGUCAUAUGGAAUCUCACUUUCGUUCGUUUGGAGACAGUGUUAGUUUCGGUGCAAGAUAGGUGCACAGUUUGCGCCUAAUGCACCAUAGGCUAAGAAACCAUUUUGGACACACCCGAUGGUACUCCUAGGUGAAGGGGCUCAAGUGGAAGCUCAGUACGGUUUGUUUGGAGAUAGUGCUAAUCUUUAUGUAUGAUAGGUGCACGGUUUGCAUGGAACAUUCAUAUGCUCAAAAUCAAUAUGGACACAACGAAUAGAACUCCUAGAUGAUGUGUGUCAUCCAGAAUCUCACUUUGUCUGUUUGGAGAUAGUUUUAGUUUGGGUGCAAGAUAGAUGCAUGGUUUGCGCCUAAUGCACCAUACUCUAAGAAAAUAUUUUGGACACACUCGAUGGUACUCCUUGGUGAAGAGACUCAAGUGGAAGCUUGGUUCGGUCUGUUUGGAGAUAGUGCUAACUUGAUGCAAGAUAGUUGCACGGUUUGCAUGGAACGUACCAUAUGCUUGGAAAUCAAUUUGGACGCACCCAAUGGAACUCCAACUCCUAGAUGAGGUGUGUCAUAUGACAUCUCGCUUUGGUCCGUUUGGACACAGCGUUAGUUUCGGUGCAAGAUAAGUGCACGGUUUGCGCCUAACGCUCCAUAGGCUAAGAAACCAUUUUGGACGCACCCGAUGGUUCUCCUAGGUAAAGGGGCUCAAUGAAAGCUACGUUUUGUCUGUUUGGAGAUUGUCCUAAUCUUCAUAUAAGAUAGGUGCAUGGUUUGCAUGUAACGUACCAUAUGCUUGGAAAUCAAUUUGGACGCACCCAAUAGAACUUCUAGAUGACAUGUGUCAUAUGGAAUCUCGCUUCGGUCUGUUUGAAGACAGUGUCAGUUUCGGUGCAAGAUAGGUGUACCGUUUGCGCCUAAUGCACCAUAGGCUAAGAAACCAUUUUGGAUGCACCCAAUGGUACACCUUGGUAGAGAUGCUCGAGUGAAAGCUUGGUUUGGUCUGUUUGGAGAUAGUGCUAAUCUUGAUGCAAGAUAGGUGCAUGGUUUGCAUGGAACGUACCAUAUGCUCAAAAAUCAAAUUGGACGCACGCGAUAGAACUCCUUGAUGACGUGUGCCGUAUGGAAUCUUGCUUCAGUCCGUUUGGAGACAGUGUUAGUUUUAGUGCAAGAUAUGUGCACGGUUUGUGCCUAGUGCACCAUAGGCUAAGAAACCAUUUUAGACGCACCCGAUGGUACUCCUAGGUGAAUAGGCUUAAGUGGAAGCUCGGUUUAGUCUGUUCAGAGGUAGUGCUAAUAUUGAUGCAAGAUAGGUGCAUGGUUUAAAUGGAACGUACGAUAUGCUCGAAAAUCAAUUUGGACAGACCAAAUGGAACUCCUAGAUGACGUGUGUCAUAUGGAAUCUUGCUUGGGUCCGUUUAGAGACAUUGUUAGUUUUGGUGCAAGAUAGGUACACAGGCCUAAUGCACCAUAGGCUAAGAAACCAUUUUGGACACACCUGAUGGUACUCCUGGUGAAGGGGCUCAAGUGGAAGCUUGGUUUUGUCUGUUUGGAGAUAGUGCUAAUCUUGACGAAAGAUAGCUGCACGGUUUGCAUGGAACGUACCAUAUGCUCAGAAUUCAAUUUGGACGCACCUGAUGGAACUCGUUGAGGACAUGUGUCAUAUGGAAUCUCACUUUGGUCCAUUUGGAGAUUAUGUUAGUUUCGGUGCAAGAUAGGUGCACGGUUUGCGCCUAAUGCACUAUAGGCUUAGAAACCGUUGUGGAAGCACCCAAUGGUACUCCUAGGUGAAGAGGCUCAAGUAAAGCUCAAUACGGUCUAUUUGGAGAUAGUGCUAAUCUUCAUGUAAGAUAGGUGCACAGUUUGCAUGGAACAUACCAUAUGCUUAAAAAUCAAUUUGCACGCACUCGAUAGAACUCCUAGAUGAUGUGUGUUAUGUGGAAUCUCGCUUUGGUCUAUUCGGAGAUAGUGUUAGUUUCGAUGCAAGAUAGGUGCAUGGUUUGCUCCUAAUGAACUAUCUCUAAGAAACCAUUUUAGACACACCCAAUGGUACUCCUAGGUGAAGAGGCUCAAGUAGAAUCUCGGUUUGGUCUGUUUGGAGAUAUUGUAAAUCUUGAUGCAAGAUAGUUGCACGGUUUGCAUGAAACAUACCAUAUGCUCAGAAAUCAAUUUGGACACACCCGAUGGAACUUGUAGAUGACGUGUGUCAUAUGUAAUCUCGCUUUGGUCCGUUUGGAGAUAGUGUUUGUUUCGGUGCAAGCUAGGUGCACAGUUUGCGCCUAAUGCAGCAUAGGCUAAGAAACCAAUUUGGACACACCCGAUGGUACUCUGAGGUGAAGGGGCACAAGUGGAAGCUUGGUUUGGUCUGUUUGGAGAUAGUGCUAAUAUUUAGGAAAUAUUGGUGCCCGUUUGCAUGGAACGUACCAUAUGCUCGGAAAUCAAUUUAGACGCACUUGAUGGAACUCCUAGAUGACGUGUGUCAUAUGGAUUCUCGCUUUGGUCCGUUUGGGGACAGUGUUAGUUUCGGUGCAAGAUAGGUGCAAGGUUUGUGCCUAAUGCACCAUAGGCUACGAAACCAUUUUGGACGCACUUGAUGGUACUCCUAGGUGAAGAGGCUCAACUGUAAGCUCGGUUAGGAAAUCAAUUUGGACGCACCCGUUGGAACUCCUAGAUGAGGUGUGUCAUAUGUAUUUUCACAUUGGUCCGUUUGGAGACAGUGUUAGUUUUGGGGCAAGAUAGGCGUACAGUUUGCGCCUAAUGCACCAUAGGCUAAGAAAGCAUUUUGGAUGCACCCGAUGGUACUCCUAGGUAAAGGGGUUCAAGUGAAAUCUUGGUUUGGUCUAUUUGGAGAUAGUGCUAAUCUUGAUGCAAGAUAGGUGCACAAUUUGCAUGGAACGCACCAUAUGCUCAAAAAUCUAUUUGGACGCACCUGAUAGAACUCCUUGAUGACGUGUGUCAUAUGGAAUCUUGCUUCGGUCUGUUUAGAGACAUUGUUAGUUUCGGUGCAAGAUAGGUACACGGUUUGCGCCUAGUUCACCACAGACUAAGAAACAAUUUUGGACACACUCGAUGGUACUUCUAUGUGAAGGGGCUCAAGUGGAAGCUUGGUUUGGUCUGUUUGGAGAUAGUGCUAAUCUUAAGGAAAGACAGGUGCAUGGUUUGCAUGGAACAUACCAUAUGCUCAAAAAUCAAUAUGGACGCACCUGAUAGAACUCCUAGAUGAUGUUUGGAGAUAGUGUUAGUUUUAGUGCAAGAUAGGUGUAUGGUUUGCACCUAAUGCACCAUACUCUAAGAAAACAUUUUCGACACACUCGAUGGUACUCCUAGGUGAAGAGGCUCAAGUGGAAGCUCGGUUCGGUCUGUUUGGAGAUAGUGCUAAUCUUGAUGGAAGAUAGAUGCACAGUUUGCAAGGAACGUACCAUAUGCUAAGAGAUCAAUUUGGACACCCGAUGGAACUCCUAGAUGACGUGUGUCAUAUGGAAUCUCACUUUCGUUCGUUUGGAGACAGUGUUAGUUUCGGUGCAAGAUAGGUGCACAGUUUGCGCCUAAUGCACCAUAGGCUAAGAAACCAUUUUGGACACACCCGAUGGUACUCCUAGGUGAAGGGGCUCAAGUGGAAGCUCAGUACGGUUUGUUUGGAGAUAGUGCUAAUCUUUAUGUAUGAUAGGUGCACGGUUUGCAUGGAACAUACCAUAUGCUCAAAAUCAAUAUGGACGCAACGAAUAGAACUCCUAGAUGAUGUGUGUCAUCCAGAAUCUCACUUUGUCUGUUUGGAGAUAGUUUUAGUUUGGGUGCAAGAUAGAUGCAUGGUUUGCGCCUAAUGCACCAUACUCUAAGAAAAUAUUUUGGACACACUCGAUGGUACUCCUUGGUGAAGAGACUCAAGUGGAAGCUUGGUUCGGUCUGUUUGGAGAUAGUGCUAACUUGAUGCAAGAUAGUUGCACGGUUUGCAUGGAACGUACCAUAUGCUUGGAAAUCAAUUUGGACGCACCCAAUGGAACUCCAACUCCUAGAUGAGGUGUGUCAUAUGAAAUCUCGCUUUGGUCCCUUUGGAGACAGCGUUAGUUUUGGUGCAAGAUAAGUGCACGGUUUGUGCCUAAUGCACCUUAGGCUAAGAAACCAUUUUGGACGCACCCGAUGGUUCUCCUAGGUUUUGUCUAUGUUUUGUCUGUUUGGAGAUAGUCCUAAUCUUCAUGUAAGAUAGGUGCAUGGUUUGCAUGUAACGUACCAUAUGCUUGGAAAUCAAUUUGGACGCACCCAAUAGAACUUCUAGAUGACUCGUGUCAUAUGGAGUCUUGCUUCGGUCUAUUUGAAGACAGUGUUAGUUUCGGUGCAAGAUAGGUGUAUCGUUUGCGCCUAAUGCACCAUAGGCUAAGAAACCAUUUUGGAUGCAGCCGAUGGUACUCCUUGGUAGAGGGGCUCAAGUGAAGGCUUGGUUUGGUCUAUUUGGAGAUAGUGCUAAUCUUGAUGCAAGAUAGGUGCAUGGUUUGCAUGGAACGUACCAUAUGCUCAAAAUUCAAUUUGGACGCACGCGAUAGAACUCCUUGAUGACGUUUGUCAUAUGGAAUCUUGCUUCGGCCCGUUUGGAGAUAGUGUUAGUUUUAGUGCAAGAUAUGUGCACGGUUUGUGCCUAGUGCACCAUAGGCUAAGAAACCAUUUUAGACGCACCCGAUGGUACUCCUAGGUGAAUAGGCUUAAGUGGAAGCUCGGUUUGGUCUGUUCAGAGAUAGUGCUAAUCUUGAUGCGAGAUAGGUGCACGGUUUACAUGGAACGUACGAUAUGCUCGGAAAUCAAUUUGGACUGACCAAAUGGAACUCCUAGAUGACAUGUGUCAUAUGGAAUCUUGCUUGGGUCCGUUUAGAGACAUUGUUAGUUUUGGUGCAAGAUAGUUACACAGGCCUAAUGCACCAUAGGCUAAGAAACCAUUUUGGACACACCUGAUGGUACUCCUGGUGAAGGGGCUCAAGUGGAAGCUUGGUUUUGUCUGUUUGGAGAUAGUGCUAAUCUUGACGAAAGAUAGCUGCACGGUUUGCAUGGAACGUACCAUAUGCUCAGAAUUCAAUUUGGACACAACUGAUGGAACUCGUUGAGGACAUGUGUCAUAUGGAAUCUCACUUUGGUCCAUUUGGAGAUUAUGUUUGUUUCGGUGCAAGAUAGGUGCACGGUUUGCGCCUAAAGCACUAUAGGCUUAGAAACCGUUGUGGAAGCACCCGAUGGUACUCCUAGGUGAAGAGGCUCAAGUAAAGCUCGAUACGGUCUAUUUGGAGAUAGUGCUAAUCUUCAUGUAAGAUAGGUGCACGGUUUGCAUGGAACAUACCAUAUGCUCAAAAAUCAAUUUGCACGCACCCGAUAGAACUCCUAGAUGAUGUGUGUUAUGUGGAAUCUCGCUUGGAGAUAGUGUAAAUCUUGAUGCAAGAUAGUUGCACGGUUUGAAUGGAACGUAUCAUAUGCUUGGAAAUCAAUUUGGAUGCACUCGAUGGAACUCCUAGAUGACGUGUGUCAUAUGUAAUCUUGCUUUGGUCCACUUGGAGACAAUGUUAGUUUCGGUGCAAGGUAGGUGCAUGGUUUGCAUCUAAUGCACCAUUGGCUAAGAAACCAUUUUGGACACACCCAAUGGUACUCCUCGGUGAAGGGGCGCAAGUGGAGGCUUUGUUUGGUCUGUUUGGAGAUAGUGCUAAUCUUUAGGAAAGAUAUGUGCACGUUUGCAUGGGACGUACCAUAUGCUUAGAAAUCAAUUUGGACGCAACCGGUGGAACUCCUAGAUGACGUGUGUCAUAUGGAAUCUUGCUUCAGUUCAUUUGGAGACAGUGUUAGUUUUGGUGCAAGCUAGGUGCAUAGUUUGUGCCGAAUGCACCAUAGUCUAAGGCCCUGUUUAGUUCCCCACCCAAAAUUUUUUCAUCCAUCCCAUCGAAUCUUUGGACACAUGUAUGGAACAUUAAAUGUAGAUAAAAAAAUAAACUAAUUACACAGUUUAGUUAAGAAUCGCGAGACGAAUCUUUUAAGCCUAGUUACUCUAUGAUUAGCCUUAAGUGCUACAGUAACCCAUAUAUGCUAAUGACAGAUUAAUUAUGCUUAAUAAAUUUGUCUUGCAGUUUCCUGACGAGCUAUGUAAUUUGUUUUUUUAUUAGUUUCUAAAAACCCCUUCCGACAUCCUUCCGACACAUCCGAUGUGACACCUCAAAAAUUUUCGUUCUUAAUCUAAACAGGCCCUAAGAAACCAUUUUGGAUGGUGCUAUUUGUACUCCUAGGUGAAGAGGCUCAAGUGGAUGCUCAGUUUGGUCUGUUUGGAGAUAGUGCUAAUCUUGAUGCAAGAUAGAUGCACAGUUUGCAAGGAACGUACCAUAUACUAAGAAAUCAAUUUGGACACACGAUGGAACUCCUAGAUGACGUGUGUCAUAUGGAAUCUCGCUUUCGUUCGUUUGGAGACAGUGUUAGUUUCGGUGCAAGAUAGGUGCACAGUUUGUGCCAAAUGUACCACAGGCUAAGAAACCAUUUUGGACACACUCGAUGGUACUCCUAGGUCAAGAGGGUCAAGUCGAAGCACGGUUCGAUCUGUUUGGAGAUAGUGCUAAUUUCUAUGUGAGAUACGUGCAUGGUUUGCAUGGAACGUACCAUAUGCUCGAAAAUCAAUUUGGACGCACCAGAUGGAACUGUUAGAUGAGGUGUGUCAUUUGUAAUCUCGCUUUGGUCUGUUGAAGACAAUGUUAGUUUUGGUGCAAGAUAGGUGCACGGUUUGCGCCUAAUGCACCAUAGGCUAAGAAACCAUUUUGGAUGCACUCGAUGGUCCUCCUAGGUGAAGAGGCUCAAAAGAAAGCUCGAUUCAGUCUAUUUGGAGAUAGUGCUAAUCUUGAUGCAAGAUUGGUGCACAGUUUGCAUGGAACAUACCAUAUGCUUGGAAAUCAAUUUGGACGCACCCGAUGGAACUCCUAGAUGACGUGUGUCAUAUGGAUUAUGCUUUGAUAUAUUUGGAGAUUGUGUUAGUUUAGGUGCAAGAUAGGUGCACGGUUUGCGCCUAAUGCACCAUAGGAUAAGAACCCAUUUUGCGCGCACACGAUGGUACUCCUAGGUAAAGGGGCUCAAGUGAAAGCUCAGUUUGGUCUGUUUGGAUAUAGUGCUAAUCUUGAUGCAAGAUAGGUGCACGGUUUGCAUGGAACAUACCAUAUGCUCAUAAAUCAAUUGGAACACACCUGAUAGACCUUGAUGACAUGUGUUAUUUGGAAUCUCGAUUUGGUCCGUUUGGAGACAGUAUUAGUUUCAGUGCAAGAUUGGUGCAUGGUUUGUGCCAAAUACACCAUACUCUAAGAAAUCAAUUUGGACGCACCCGAUGGUACUCCUAGGUGAAGAUCCUCAAAAGAAAGCUCGAUUCCAUCUAUUUAGAGAUAGUGCUAAUCUUGAUGUAAGAUAGGUGCACAGUUUGCAUGGAGCGUACCAUAUGCUCAAAAAUCAGUUUGGAUCCGAUGGAACACCUUGAUGACAUGUGUCAUAUGGAAUCUCGUUUCGGUCCAUUUGGAGACAGUGUUAGUUUCAGUGCAAGAUAGGUGCAUAGUUUGUGCCUAAUGCAUCAUAGUCUAAGAAACCAUUUUGGACACACCUGUUGGUACUCCUUGGUGAAGAGGCUCAAGUGGAAGCUCGGUUCACUCUAUUUGGAGAUAGUGCUAAUCUUGAUGCAAAAUAGGUACACAGAUUGCAUGGAACGUACCAUAUGCUCGAAAAUCAAUUUGGACGCACCUGAUGGAACUCCUAGAUGAGGUGUGUCAUAUUUAAUCUCGCUUUGGUCCGUUUGGAGACAGUGUUAGUUUCGGUGCAAGAUAAGUGCAUGGUUUGGGCCUAAUGCACCAUAGGCUCUGAAACCAUUUUGGAUGCACCCAAUGGUACUCUUAGGUAAAGGGGCUCAAGUGAAAGUCAAGUUUUGUCUAUUUAGAGAUAGUCGUAAAUCCUAAUCUUCAUGUUAUGGUUUGCAUGUAACAUACCAUAUGCUCAAAAAUCAAUUUGGACGCACCCGAUAGAACUCCUAGAAGAUGUGUUAGUUUCAGUGCAAGAUAGGCGCAUGGUUUGUGCCUAAUGCACCAUACUCUAAGAAACCAUUUUGGACGCACCCAGUGGUACUCCUAGGUGAAGAGCCUCAAGUACAAGCGUAGUUUGGUCUAUUUAGAGAUAGUGCUAAUCUUAAUGCAAGAUAGUUGCACGGUUUGCAUGGAACGUACUAUAUGCUUGGAAAUCAGUUUGGACGCACCCGAUGGAACUCCUAGGUGACGUGUGUCAUAUGUAAUCUCACUUUCGUUCGUUUGGAGACAGUGUUAGUUUCGGUGCAAGAUAGGUGCACAGUUUGUGCCUAAUGCACCAUAUGCUAAGAAACCAUUUUGGACACACCCGAUGGUACUCCUAGGUGAAGGGGCUCAAGUGGAAGCUCAGUACGGUCUGUUUGGAGACAGUGCUAAUCUUUAUGUAUGAUAGGUGCACGGUUUGCAUGGAACAUUCAUAUGCUCAAAAUCAAUAUGGACACAACGAAUAGAACUCCUAGAUGAUGUGUGUCAUCCAGAAUCUCAGUUUGUCUGUUUGGAGAUAGUUUUAGUUUGGGUGCAAGAUAGAUGCAUGGUUUGCGCCUAAUGCACCAUACUCUAAGAAAACAUUUUGGACACACUCGAUGGGACUCCUAGGUGAAGAGGCACAAGUGGAAGCUCGGUUCGGUCUAUUUGGAGAUAGUGCUAACUUGAUGCAAGAUAGUUGCAUGGUUUGCAUGGAACGUACCAUAUGCUUGGAAAUCAAUUUGGACGCACCCAAUGGAACUCCAACUCCAAGAUGAGGUGUGGCAUAUGUAAUCUCGCUUUGGUCCGUUUGGAGACAACGUUAGUUUCGUUGCAAGAUAAGUGCACGGUUUGCACCUAAUGCACCAUAGGCUAAGAAACCAUUUCGGACGCACCCGAUGGUUCUCCUAGGUAAAGGGGCUCAAUGAAAGCUACGUUUUGUCUGUUUGGAGAUUGUCCUAAUCUUCAUUUAAGAUAGGUGCAUGGUUUGCAUGUAACAUACCAUAUGCUUGGAAAUUAAUUUGGAUGCACCCAAUAGAACUUCUAGAUGACUCGUGUCAUAUGGAAUCUCGCUUCGGUCUGUUUGAAGACAGUGUUAGUUUCGGUGCAAGAUAGGUGUACCGUUUGCGCCUAGUGCACCAUAGGCUAAGAAACCAUUUUAGACGCACCCGAUGGUACUCCUAGGUGAAUAGGCUUAAGUGGAAGCUCGGUUUGGUCUGUUCAGAGAUAGUGCUAAUCUUGAUGCAAGAUAGGUGCAUGGUUUACAUGGAACGUACGAUAUGCUCGAAAAUCAAUUUGGACUGACCAAAUGGAACUCCUAGAUGACGUGUGUCGUAUGGAAUCUUGCUUGGGUCCGUUUAGAGAGUUGUUAGUUUUGGUGCAAGAUAGGUACACGGUUUGCGCCUAAUGCACCAUAGGCUAAGAAACCAUUUUGGACACACCUGAUGGUACUUCUGGUGAAGGGGCUCAAGUGGAAGCUUGGUUUGGUCUGUUUGGAGAUAGUGCUAAUCUUCAGGAAAGAUAGCUGCACGGUUUGCAUGGAACGUACCAUAUGCUCAGAAAUCAAUUUGGACGCACCUGAUGGAACUCCUUGAGGACGUGUGUGAUAUGGAAUCUCACUUUGGUCCAUUUGGAGAUUACGUUAGUUUCGGUGCAAGAUAGGUGCACGGUUUGCGCCUAAUGCACUAUAGGCUUAGAAACCGUUGUGGAAGCACCCGAUGGUACUCCUAGGUGAAGAGGCUCAAGUAAAGCUCGAUACGAUCUAUUUGGAGAUAGUGCUAAUCUUCAUGUAAGAUAGGUGCACAGUUUGCAUGAAACAUACCAUAUGCUCAAAAGUCAAUUUGCACGCACCCGAUAGAACUUCUAGAUGAUGUGUGUUAUGUGGAAUCUCGCUUUGGUCUAUUCAGAGAUAGUGUUAGUUUCGAUGCAAGAUAGGUGCAUGGUUUGCUCCUAAUGCACUAUCUCUAAGAAACCAUUUUGGACACACCCAAUGGUACUCCUAGGUGAAGAGGCUCAAGUAGAAGCUCGGUUCGUUCUGUUUGGAGAUAGUGUAAAUCUUGAUGCAAGAUAGUUACACGGUUUGCAUGGAACAUACCAUAUGCUUGGAAAUCAAUUUGGACACACCCGAUGGAACUUCUAGAUGACGUGUGUCAUAUGUAAUCUUGCUUUGGUCCAUUUGGAGAUAGUGUUUGUUUCGGUGCAAGCUAGGUGCACGGUUUGCGCCUAAUGCAGCAUAGGCUAAGAAACCAUUUUGGACACACCCGAUGGUACUCCGAGGUGAAGGGGCGCAAGUGGAUGCUUGGUUUGGUCUGUUUGGAUAUAGUGCUAAUCUUUAGGAAAUAUAGGUGCCCGUUUGCAUGGAACGUACCAUAUGCUCGGAAAUCAAUUUAGACGCACUCGAUGGAACUCCUAGAUGACGUGUGUCAUAUGGAAUCUCGCUUUGGUCCGUUUGGAGACAGUGUUAGUUUCGGUGCAAGAUAGGUGCAUGGUUUGUGCCUAAUGCACCAUAGGCUAAGAAACCAUUUUGGACGCACUCGAUUGUACUCCUAGGUAAAGAGGCUCAACUGUAAGCUCGGUUUGGAAAUCAAUUUGGACGCACCCGUUGGAACUCCUAGAUGAGGUGUGUCAUAUGUAUUCUCACAUUGGUCCGUUUGGAGACUGUAUUAGUUUUGGGGCAAGAUAGGCGUACAGUUUGCGCCUAAUGCACCAUAGGCUAAGAAAGCAUUUUGGAUGCACCCGAUGGUACUCCUAGGUAAAGGGGUUAAAGUGAAAUCUUGGUUUGGUAUAUUUGGAGAUAGUGCUAAUCUUGAUGCAAGAUAGGUGCACAGUUUGCAUGGAACGUACCAUAUGCUCAGAAAUCAAUUUGGACGCACCUGAUAGAACUCCUUGAUGACGUGUGUCAUAUGGAAUCUUGCUUCGGUCUGUUUAGAGACAUUGUUAGCUUCGGUAUAAGAUAGGUACACGGUUUGCGCCUAGUUCACCAUAGACUAAGAAACCAUUUUGGACACACCCGACGGUACUUCUAUGUGAAGGGCUCAAGUGGAAGCUUGGUUUGGUCUGUUUGGAGAUAGUGCUAAUCUUAAGGAAAGAUAGGUGUACGGUUUGCAUAGAACAUACCAUAUGCUCAAAAAUCAAUAUGGACGCACCUAAUAGAACUCCUAGAUGAUGUUUGGAGAUAGUGUUAGUUUUAGUGCAAGAUAGGUGUAUGGUUUGCACCUAAUGCACCAUACUCUAAGAAAACAUUUUGGACACACUCGAUGGUACUCCUAGGUGAAGAGGCUCAAGUGGAAGCUCGGUUCGGUCUGUUUGGAGAUAGUGCUAACUUGAUGCAAGAUAGUUGCACGGUUUGCAUGGAACGUAUCAUAUGCUUGGAAAUUAAUUUGGAUGCACUCAAUGGAACUCCUAGAUGACGUGUGUCAUAUGUAAUCUUGCUUUGGUCCAUUUGCGGACAAUGUUAGUUUCGGUGCAAGAUAGGUGCAUGGUUUGCGUCUAAUGCACCAUUGGCUAAGAAACCAUUUUGGACACACCCAAUGGUACUCCUAGGUGAAGGGGCACAAUUGGAGGCUUGCUUUGGUCUGUUAGGAGAUAGUGCUAAUCUUUAAGAAAGAUAGGAGCACGUUUGCAUGGAACAUACCAUAUGCUUAGAAAUCAAUUUGGAUGCAACCGAUGGAACUCCUAGAUGGCGUGUGUCAUAUGGAAUCUUGCUUCAGUUCAUUUGGAGACAGUGUUAGUUUUGGUGCAAGCUAGGUGCAUAGUUUGUGCUGAAUGCACCAUAGUCUAAGAAACCAUUUUGGAUGCACCUAUUUGUACUCCUGGGUGAAGAGGCUCAAGUGGAAGCUCAGUUUGGUAUGUUUGGAGAUAGUGCUAAUCUUGAUGCAAGAUAGAUGCACAGUUUGCAAGGAACGUACCAUAUGCUAAGAAAUCAAUUUGGACACCCGAUGGAACUCCUAGAUGACAUGUGUCAUAUAGAAUCUCACUUUCGUUCGUUUGGAGACAGUAUUAGUUUUGGUGCAAGAUAGGUGCACAGUUUGCGCCUAAUGCACCAUAGGCUAAGAAACCAUUUUGGACACACCCGAUGGUACUCCUAGGUGAAGGGGCUCAAGUGGAAGCUCAGUACGUUCUGUUUGGAGAUAGUGCUAAUCUUUAUGUGUGAUAGGUGCACGGUUUGCAUGGAACAUACCAUAUGCUCAAAAAUCAAUAUGGACGCAAUGAAUAGAACUCCUGGAUGAUGUGUGUCAUCCAGAAUCUCACUUUGUCUGUUUGGAGAUAGUUUUAGUUUGGGUGCAAGAUAGAUGCAUGGUUUGCGCCUAAUGCACCAUACUCUAUGAAAACAUUUUGGACACACUCGAUGGUACUCCUAGGUGAAGAGGCUCAAGUGGAAGCUCGGUUCGGUCUGUUUCGAGGUAGUGCUAACUUGAUGCAAGAUAGUUGCACGGUUUGCAUGGAACGUACCAUAUGCUUGGAAAUCAAUUUGGACGCACCCAAUGUAACUUCUAGAUGACAUGUGUCAUAUGUAAUCUCGCUUUGGUCCGUUUGGAGAUAGUGUUUGUUUCGGUGCAAGCUAGGUGCACUGUUUGCGCCUAAUGCAGCAUAGGCUAAGAAACCAUUUUGAACACACCCGAUGGUACUCCGAGGUGAAGGGGCGCAAGUGGAAGCUUGGUUUGGUCUGUUUGGAGAUAGUGCUAAUCUUUAGGAAAUAUAGGUGCCCAUUUGCAUGGAACGUACCAUAUGCUCGGAAAUCAAUUUAGACGCACUCGAUGGAACUCCUAGAUGACGUGUGUCAUAUGGAAUCUCGCUUUGGUCCGUUUGGAGACAGUGUUAGUUUCGGUGCAAGAUAGGUGCAUGGUUUGUGCCUAAUGCACCAUAGGCUAAGAAACCAUUUUGGACGCACUCGAUGGUACUUCUAGGUGAAGAGGCUCAACUGUAAGCUCGGUUCGGAAAUCAAUUUGGACGCACCCGUUGGAACUCCUAGAUGAGGUGUGUCAUAUGUAUUGUCACACUGGUCCGUUUGGAGACAGUGUUAGUUUUGGGGCAUGAUAGGCGUACAGUUUGCGCCUAAUGCACCAUAGGCUAAGAAAGCAUUUUGGAUGCACUCGAUGGUACUCCUAGGUAAAGGGGUUCAAGUGAAAUCUUGGUUUGGUCUAUUUGGAGAUAGUGCUAAUCUUGAUGCAAGAUAGGUGCACAGUUUGCGCCUAGUUCACCAUAGACUAAGAAACCAUUUUGGACACACCCGAUGGUACUUCUAUGUGAAUAGGCUCAAAUGGAAGCUUGGUUUGGUCUGUUUGAAGAUAGUGCUAAUCUUAAGGAAAGAUAGGUGCACGGUUUGCAUGGAACAUACCAUAUGCUCAAAAAUCAAUAUGGACGCACGUGAUUGAACUCCUAGAUGAUGUUUGGAGAUAGUGUUAGUUUUAGUGCAAGAUAGGUGCAUGGUUUGCACCUAUUGCACCAUACUCUAAGAAAACAUGUUGGACACACUCGAUGGUACUCCUAGGUGAAGAGGCUCAAGUAGAAGCUCGUGGCAGUCUGUUGGAGAUAGUGUAAAUCUUGAUGCAAGAUAGUUACACGGUUUGCAUGGAACGUAUCAUAUGCUUGGAAAUCAAUUUGAUGCACUCGAUGGAACUCCUAGAUGACGUGUGUCAUAUGUAAUCUUGCUUUGGUCCAUUUGGAGACAAUGUUAGUUUCGGUGCAAGAUAGGUGCAUGGUUUGCAUCUAAUGCACCAUUGGCUAAGAAACCAUUUUGGACACACCCAAUGGUACUCCUAGGUGAAGGGGCGCAAGUGGAGGCUUGGUUUGGUCUGUUUGGAGAUAGUGCUAAUCUUUAGGAAAGAUAUGUGCACGUUUGCAUGGAACGUACCAUAUGCUUAGAAAUCAGUUUGGACGCAACCGAUGGAACUCCUAGAUGACGUGUGUCAUAUGGAAUCUUGCUUCAGUUCAUUUGGAGACAGUGUUAGUUUUGGUGCAAGCUAGGUGCAUAGUUUGUGCCGAAUGCACCAUACUCUAAGAAACCAUUUUGGAUGGUGCUAUUUGUACUCCUAGGUGAAGAGGCUCAAGUGGAAGCUCAGUUUGGUCUGUUUGGAGAUAGUGCUAAUCUUGAUGCAAGAUAGAUGCACAGUUUGCAAGGAACGUACCAUAUGCUAAGAAAUCAAUUUGGACACCCGAUGGAACUCCUAGAUGACGUGUGUCAUAUGGAAUCUCACUUUGUUCUGUUUGGAGACAGUGUUAGCUUCAGUGCAAGAUAGGUGCACAGUUUGCGCCUAAUGUACCACAGGCUAAGAAACCAUUUUGGACACACUCGAUGGUACUCCUAGGUGAAGAGGGUCAAGUCGAAGCACGGUUCGAUCUGUUUGGAGAUAGUGCUAAUUUUGAUGUGAGAUACGUGCAUGGUUUGCAUGGAACGUACCAUAUGCUCGAAAAUCAAUUUGGACGCACUAGAUGGAACUCUUAGAUGAGGUGUGUCAUUUGUAAUCUCGCUUUGGUCUGUUGGAGACAAUGUUAGUUUUGGUGCAAGAUAGGUGCACGGUUUGCGGCUAAUGCACCAUAGGCUAAGAAACCAAUUUGGAUGCACUCGAUGGUACUCCUAGGUGAACAGGCUCAAAAGAAAGCUCGAUUCAGUCUAUUUGGAGAUAGUGCUAAUCUUGAUGCAAGAUUGGUGCACAGUUUGCAUGGAACAUACCAUAUGCUUGGAAAUCAAUUUGGACACACCCGAUGGAACUCCUAGAUGACAUGUGUCAUAUGGAUUCUGCUUUGAUAUAUUUGGAGACUGUGUUAGUUUAGGUGCAAGAUAGGUGCACGGUUUGUGCCUAAUGCACCAUAGGAUAAGAACUCAUUUUGGACGCGCACGAAGGUACUCCGAGGUAAAGGGGCUCAAGUGAAAGCUCAGUUUGGUCUGUUUGGAUAUAGUGCUAAUCUUGAUGCAAGAUAGGUGCACGGUUUGCAUGGAACAUACCAUAUGCUCAUAAAUCAAUUUGAACACACCUGAUAGACCUUCUUGAUGACAUGUGUUAUUUGGAAUCUCGAUUUGGUCCGUUUGGAGACAGUGUUAGUUUCAGUGCAAGAUUGGUGCAUGGUUUGUGCCAAAUACACCAUACUCUAAGAAAUCAAUUUGGACGCCCCCGAUGGUACUCCUAGGUGAAGAUCCUCAAAAGAAAGAUCGAUUCCGUCUAUUUAGAGAUAGUGCUAAUCUUGAUGUAAGAUAGGUGCACAGUUUGCAUGGAGCGUACCAUAAGCUCGAAAAUCAGUUUGGAUGCAUCCGAUGGAACACCUAGAUGACAUGUGUCAUAUGGAAUCUCGCUUCGGUCCAUUUGGAGACAGUGUUAGUUUCAGUGCAAGAUAGGUGCACAGUUUGUGCCUAAUGCAUCAUAGUCUAAGAAACCAUUUUGGACACACCUGUUGGUACUCCUUGGUGAAGAGGCUCAAGUGGAAGCUCGGUUCACUCUAUUUGGAGAUAGUGCUAAUCUUGAUGCAAGAUAGGUACACAGAUUGCAUGGAACAUACCAUAUGCUCGAAAAUCAAUUUGGACGCACCCGAUAGAACUCCUAGAUGAGGUGUGUCAUAUGUAAUCUCGCUUUGGUCCGUUUGGAGACAGCGUUAGUUUCGGUGCAAGAUAAGUGCAUGGUUUGGGCCUAAUGCACCAUAGGCUAAGAAACCAUUUUGGAUGCACCCGAUGGUACUCCUAGGUAAAGGGGCUCAAGUGAAAGUCAGGUUUUGUCUGUUUGGAGAUAGUCCUAAAUCCUAAUCUUCAUGCCAUGGUUUGCAUGUAACAUACCAUAUGCUCAAAAAUCAAUUUGGACGCACCCGAUAGAACUCCUAGAAGAUGUAUGUCAUUUAGAAUCUCACUUUGGUCUGUAUGGAGAUAGUGUUAGUUUCAGUGCAAGAUAGGUGCAUGUUUUGCGCCUUAUGCACCAUACUCUAAGAAACCAUUUUGGACGCACCCAUUGGUACUCCUAGGUGAAGAGCCUCAGGUACAAGCGUAGUUUGGUCUAUUUGGAGAUAGUGCUAAUCUUGAUGCAAGAUAGAUGCACAGUUUGCAAGAAACGUACAAUAUGCUAAGAAAUCAAUUUGGACACCCGAUGGAACUCCUAGAUGACGUGUGUCAUAUGGAAUCUCACUUUGUUCUGUUUGGAGACAGUGUUAGCUUCAGUGCAAGAUAGGUGCACAGUUUGCGCCUAAUGUACCACAGGCUAAGAAACCAUUUUGGACACACUCGAUGGUACUCCUAGGUGAAGAGGGUCAAGUCGAAGCACGGUUCGAUCUGUUUGGAGAUAGUGCUAAUUUUGAUGUGAGAUACGUGCAUGGUUUGCAUGGAACGUACCAUAUGCUCGAAAAUCAAUUUGGACGCACUAGAUGGAACUCUUAGAUGAGGUGUGUCAUUUGUAAUCUCGCUUUGGUCUGUUGGAGACAAUGUUAGUUUUGGUGCAAGAUAGGUGCACGGUUUGCGGCUAAUGCACCAUAGGCUAAGAAACCAAUUUGGAUGCACUCGAUGUUACUCCUAGGUGAAGAGGCUCAAAAGAAAGCUCGAUUCAGUCUAUUUGGAGAUAGUGCUAAUCUUGAUGCAAGAUUGGUGCACAGUUUGCAUGGAACAUACCAUAUGCUUGGAAAUCAAUUUGGACACACCCGAUGGAACUCCUAGAUGACAUGUGUCAUAUGGAUUCUGCUUUGAUAUAUUUGGAGACUGUGUUAGUUUAGGUGCAAGAUAGGUGCACGGUUUGUGCCUAAUGCACCAUAGGAUAAGAACUCAUUUUGGACGCGCACGAAGGUACUCCGAGGUAAAGGGGCUCAAGUGAAAGCUCAGUUUGGUCUGUUUGGAUACAGUGCUAAUCUUGAUGCAAGAUAGGUGCACGGUUUGCAUGGAACAUACCAUAUGCUCAUAAAUCAAUUUGAACACACCUGAUAGACCUUCUUGAUGACAUGUGUUAUUUGGAAUCUCGAUUUGGUCCGUUUGGAGACAGUGUUAGUUUCAGUGCAAGAUUGGUGCAUGGUUUGUGCCAAAUACACCAUACUCUAAGAAAUCAAUUUGGACGCCCCCGAUGGUACUCCUAGGUGAAGAUCCUCAAAAGAAAGAUCGUUUCCGUCUAUUUAGAGAUAGUGCUAAUCUUGAUGUAAGAUAGGUGCACAGUUUGCAUGGAGCGUACCAUAAGCUCGAAAAUCAGUUUGGAUGCAUCCGAUGGAACACCUAGAUGACAUGUGUCAUAUGGAAUCUCGCUUCGGUCCAUUUGGAGACAGUGUUAGUUUCAGUGCAAGAUAGGUGCACAGUUUGUGCCUAAUGCAUCAUAGUCUAAGAAACCAUUUUGGACACACCUGUUGGUACUCCUUGGUGAAGAGGCUCAAGUGGAAGCUCGGUUCACUCUAUUUGGAGAUAGUGCUAAUCUUGAUGCAAGAUAGGUACACAGAUUGCAUGGAACGUACCAUAUGCUCGAAAAUCAAUUUGGACGCACCCGAUAGAACUCCUAGAUGAGGUGUGUCAUAUGUAAUCUCGCUUUGGUCCGUUUGGAGACAGCGUUAGUUUCGGUGCAAGAUAAGUGCAUGGUUUGGGCCUAAUGCACCAUAGGCUAAGAAACCAUUUUGGAUGCACCCGAUGGUACUCCUAGGUAAAGGGGCUCAAGUGAAAGUCAGGUUUUGUCUGUUUGGAGAUAGUCCUAAAUCCUAAUCUUCAUGCCAUGGUUUGCAUGUAACAUACCAUAUGCUCAAAAAUCAAUUUGGACGCACCCGAUAGAACUCCUAGAAGAUGUAUGUCAUUUAGAAUCUCACUUUGGUCUGUAUGGAGAUAGUGUUAGUUUCAGUGCAAGAUAGGUGCAUGUUUUGCGCCUUAUGCACCAUACUCUAAGAAACCAUUUUGGACGCACCCAUUGGUACUCCUAGGUGAAGAGCCUCAGGUACAAGCGUAGUUUGGUCUAUUUGGAGAUAGUGCUAAUCUUGAUGCAAGAUAGAUGCACAGUUUGCAAGAAACGUACAAUAUGCUAAGAAAUCAAUUUGGACACCCGAUGGAACUCCUAGAUUACGUGUGUCAUAUGGAAUCUCACUUUGUUCUGUUUGGAGACAGUGUUAGCUUCAGUGCAAGAUAGGUGCACAGUUUGCGCCUAAUGUACCACAGGCUAAGAAACCAUUUUGGACACACUCGAUGGUACUCCUAGGUGAAGAGGGUCAAGUCGAAGCACGGUUCGAUCUGUUUGGAGAUAGUGCUAAUUUUGAUGUGAGAUACGUGCAUGGUUUGCAUGGAACGUACCAUAUGCUCGAAAAUCAAUUUGGACGCACUAGAUGGAACUCUUAGAUGAGGUGUGUCAUUUGUAAUCUCGCUUUGGUCUGUUGGAGACAAUGUUAGUUUUGGAGCAAGAUAGGUGCACGGUUUGCGGCUAAUGCACCAUAGGCUAAGAAACCAAUUUGGAUGCACUCGAUGGUACUCCUAGGUGAAGAGGCUCAAAAGAAAGCUCGAUUCAGUCUAUUUGGAGAUAGUGCUAAUCUUGAUGCAAGAUUGGUGCACAGUUUGCAUGGAACAUACCAUAUGCUUGGAAAUCAAUUUGGACACACCCGAUGGAACUCCUAGAUGACAUGUGUCAUAUGGAUUCUGCUUUGAUAUAUUUGGAGACUGUGUUAGUUUAGGUGCAAGAUAGGUGCACGGUUUGUGCCUAAUGCACCAUAGGAUAAGAACUCAUUUUGGACGCGCACGAAGGUACUCCGAGGUAAAGGGGCUCAAGUGAAAGCUCAGUUUGGUCUGUUUGGAUAUAGUGCUAAUCUUGAUGCAAGAUAGGUGCACGGUUUGCAUGGAACAUACCAUAUGCUCAUAAAUCAAUUUGAACACACCUGAUAGACCUUCUUGAUGACAUGUGUUAUUUGGAAUCUCGAUUUGGUCCGUUAGGAGACAGUGUUAGUUUCAGUGCAAGAUUGGUGCAUGGUUUGUGCCAAAUACACCAUACUCUAAGAAAUCAUUUUGGACGCCCCCGAUGGUACUCCUAGGUGAAGAUCCUCAAAAGAAAGAUCGAUUCCGUCUAUUUAGAGAUAGUGCUAAUCUUGAUGUAAGAUAGGUGCACAGUUUGCAUGGAGCGUACCAUAAGCUCGAAAAUCAGUUUGGAUGCAUCCGAUGGAACACCUAGAUGACAUGUGUCAUAUGGAAUCUCGCUUCGGUCCAUUUGGAGACAGUGUUAGUUUCAGUGCAAGAUAGGUGCACAGUUUGUGCCUAAUGCAUCAUAGUCUAAGAAACCAUUUUGGACACACCUGUUGGUACUCCUUGGUGAAGAGGCUCAAGUGGAAGCUCGGUUCACUCUAUUUGGAGAUAGUGCUAAUCUUGAUGCAAGAUAGGUACACAGAUUGCAUGGAAUGUACCAUAUGCUCGAAAAUCAAUUUGGACGCACCCGAUAGAACUCCUAGAUGAGGUGUGUCAUAUGUAAUCUCGCUUUGGUCCGUUUGGAGACAGCGUUAGUUUCGGUGCAAGAUAAGUGCAUGGUUUGGGCCUAAUGCACCAUAGGCUAAGAAACCAUUUUGGAUGCACCCGAUGGUACUCCUAGGUAAAGGGGCUCAAGUGAAAGUCAGGUUUUGUCUGUUUGGAGAUAGUCCUAAAUCCUAAUCUUCAUGCCAUGGUUUGCAUGUAACAUACCAUAUGCUCAAAAAUCAAUUUGGACGCACCCGAUAGAACUCCUAGAAGAUGUAUGUCAUUUAGAAUCUCACUUUGGUCUGUAUGGAGAUAGUGUUAGUUUCAGUGCAAGAUAGGUGCAUGUUUUGCGCCUUAUGCACCAUACUCUAAGAAACCAUUUUGGACGCAUCCAUUGGUAUUCCUAGGUGAAGAGCCUCAGGUACAAGCGUAGUUUGGUCUAUUUGGAGAUAGUGCUAAUCUUAAUGCAAGAUAGUUGCAUGGUUUGCAUGGAACGUACCAUAUGCUUGGAAAUCAAUUUGGACGCACCCGAUGGAACUCCUAGAUGAUGUGUGUCAUAUGUAAUCUCACUUUCGUUCGUUUGGAGACAGUGUUAGUUUCAGUGCAAGAUAGGUGCACAGUUUGCGCCUAAUGCACCAUAGGCUAAGAAACCAUUUUGGACACACCCGAUGGUACUCCUUGGUGAAGGGGCUCAAGUGGAAGCUCAGUACGGUCUGUUUGGAGAUAGUGCUAAUCUUUAUGUAUGAUAGGUGCACAGUUUGCAUGGAACAUACCAUAUGCUCAAAAAUCAGUAUGGACGCACUGAAUAGAACUCCUAGAUGAUGUGUGUCAUCUAGAAUCUCACUUUGUCUGUUUGGAGAUAGUUUUAGUUUGGGUGCAAGAUAGAUGCAUGGUUUGCGCCUAAUGCACCAUACUCUAAGAAAACAUUUUGGACACACUCGAUGGUACUCCUAGGUGAAGAGGCUCAAGUGGAAGCUCGGUUCGGUCUGUUUGGAGAUAGUGCUAACUUGAUGCAAGAUAGUUGCACAGUUUGCAUGGAACGUACCAUAUGCUUGGAAAUCAAUUUGGACGCACCCAAUGGAAUUCCAACUCCUAGAUGAGGUGUGUCAUAUGUAAUCUUGCUUUGGUCCGUUUGGAGACAGCGUUAGUUUCGGUGCAAGAUAAGUGCACGGUUUGCGCCUAAUGCUCCAUAGGCCAAGAAACCAUUUUGGACGCACUAAUGCGAACCCGCUAGGGUUUUUGGCCUGAUCUUUCGAUGAGAGGCGCUGGAUAACUCGAUUAGUGGAUGGAGAUGACGUUCACGGCCCAACUACAGCCCUCAAGACCGCGCCUUAGCAACCGAUACACCACGUCCAAUAGCCGUCACGAUCUUGUGGAGCGCGACAACCAGCCCCUAGGGCUCCCGUCCUACAAGCAAUCGAAGAACUAGCAAGAACGAGGAAACAAGCACUGAAUUUGCAAGAUGAAUUGAAGGUUUCAAACUGAAUCUGAAUCAACAAUGGGGUUCCGAAGACAAGGAGACGGGCGGCUGAUCCUGCACGCGCGCCUACAAGCAAGUAGCGAAGGCUAAACUUGAUCUAAACAAAACCCAGUUGUUCAUGGCGGCUCUAGAUGUAAAUAAAUAUAGGGGAGGACGACCAAAGGGGUGCUAGAGUCGUCCUCCAACCCUAGGACGCGUCCCUAAUGGACUCAACUUGAUACAUGGGCCAUUGGUCCAAAAUAGGGUGACGCAGCACCAAAACAGAAAAAGGUGUCGGCACGAAAACAAGGACUGCGCCCGACUCAUAAGCUGCAUAGAUAUGUGGUUGGACCCAUUGGAAAGUAGACUUUUUGAGCUUUCCAACAAGUAUAGGAACGUCCCAGUUGGAGUCCAUAUGACGCCGUGGUGAUCCAUACAAGUUAGAGUUAUUUUCCAGUCCGAAUCCAACUCCCAAAACGUGUUGGGUUUGGACUCUUUGUUUCCUUGCUUUAGAAGCGACGUGGUAACUUGAUAGAGGAUGUUGUGGAGGCUUGGACCUGAUCUCCAAUCACCUUUGUUAAGUUAUCACUCUUCCCAUAUGCAAUCAGCCCUUGAAGUUGGUGUUGCCUCAAAUUCUGAAUGCAGUUGAACCUUCCCUUGCUGAUCUUGUCCAUUAUUCCUGAGCAACACGAAAGUGCACGUGUCUCCAUUGUCUAAAUAUGAUUGACAAGAGUUUAAAACUGAACUUACUUGAAGGUUGAGUUGACGGGCACGAGCACGAGUAAGAGGACCAGCUAUAGGUUGUGUCGGAGAGAAUGUAGGACCAGCUAUAGGUUGUGCCGGAGAGGAUGUAGGAUAUGUAUCGCUGGUGGAUGUAGGAUAUGUAUCGCUGGUGUUGAUGUCCUCAUCACGCACCCGAUGGUUCUCCUAGUUAAAGGGGCUCAAUGAAAGCUAUGUUUUGUCUGUUUGGAGAUAGUCCUAAUCUUCAUGUAAGAUUGGUGCAUGAUUUGCAUGUAACGUACCAUAUGCUUGGAAAUCAAUUUGGACACACACGCAAUAGAACUUCUGGAUGACUCGUGUCAUAUGGAAUCUCGCUUCGGUCAGUUUGAAGACCGUGUUAGUUUCGGUGCAAGAUAGGUCUACCGUUUGCGCCUACUGCACCAUAGGCUAAGAAACCAUUUUGGAUGCACCCGAUGGUACUCCUUGGUAGAGGGGCUCAAGUGAAAGCUUGGUUUGGUCUAUUUGGAGAUAGUGCUAAUCUUGAUGCAAGAUAGGUGCAUGGUUUGCAUGGAACGUACCAUAUGCUCAGAAAUCAAUUUGGACGCACGCGAUAUAACUCCUUGAUAACGUGUGUCGUAUGGAAUCCUGCUUCAGUCCGUUUGGAGACAGUGUUUGUUUUAGUGCAAAAUAUGUGCACGAUUUGUGCCUAGUGCACCAUAGGCUAAGAAACAAUUUUAGACGCACCCGAUGGUACUCCUAGGUAAAUAGGCUUAAGUGGGAGCUCGGUUUGGUCUGUCCAGAGAUAGUGCCAAUCUUGAUGCAAGAUAGGUGCACGGUUUACAUGGAACGUACGAUAUGCUCGGAAAUCAAUUUGGACUGACCAAAUGGAACUCCUAAAUGACGAGUGUCAUAUGGAAUCUUUCUUGGGUCUAUUUAGAGACAUUGUUAGUUUUGGUGCAAGAUAGGUACACAGGCCUAGGCUAAGAAACCAUUUUGGACACACCUGAUGGAACUCGUGGUGAAGGGGCUCAAGUGGAAGCCUGGUUUGGUCUGUUUGGAGAUAGUGCUAAUCUUGAGGAAAGAUAGCUGCACGGUUUGCAUGGAACGUACCAUAUGCUCAGAAAUCAAUUUGGACGCACCUGAUGGAACUCCUUGAGGACGUGUGUCAUAUGGAAUCUCACUUUGGUCCAUUUGGAGAUUAUGUUAGUUUCGGUGCAAGAUAGGUGCACGGUUUGCGCCUAAUGCACUAUAGGCUUAGAAACCGUUGUGCAAGCACGUGAUGGUACUCCUAGGUGAAGAGGCUCAAGUAAAGUUCGAUAAGGUCUAUUUGGAGAUAGCGCUAAUCUUCAUGUAAGAUAGGUGCACGGUUUGCAUGGAACAUUCCAUAUGCUCAAAAAUCAAUUUGCACGCACACGAUAGAACUCCUAGAUGAUGUGUGUUAUGUGGAAUCUCGCUUUGGUCUAUUCGGAGAUAGUGUUAGUUUCGAUGCAAGAUAGGUGCAUGGUUUGCUCCUAAUGCACUAUCUCUAAGAAUCCAUUUUGGACACACCCAAUGGUACUCCUAGGUGAAGAGGCUCAAGUAGAAGCUCGGUUCGGUCUGUUGGGAGAUAGUUUAAAUCUUGAUGAAAGAUAGUUGCACGGUUUGCAUGGAACAUACCAUAUGCUCAGAAAUCAAUUUGGACACACCUGAUGGAACUUCUAGAUGACGUGUGUCAUAUGUAAUCUCGCGUUGGUCCGUUUGGAGAUAGUGUUUGUUUCGGUGCAAGCUAGGUGCACGGUUUGCGCCUAAUGCAGCAUAGGCAAAGAAACCAUUUUGGACACACCCGAUGGUACUCCGAGGUGAAGGGGUGCAAGUGGAAGCUUGGUUUGGUCUAUUUGGAGAUAGUGCUAAUCUUUGGGAAAUAUAGGUGCCCUUUUGCAUCGAACGUACCAUAUGCUCGGAAAUCAAUUUAGACGCACUCGAUGGAACUCCUAGAUGACGUGUGUCAUAUGGAAUCUCGCUUUGGUACGUUUGGAAACAGUGUUAGUUUCGGUGCAAGAUAGGUGCAUGGUUUGUGCCUAAUGCACCAUUGGCUAAGAAACCAUUUUGGACGCACUCGAUGGUACUCCUAGGUGAAGAGGCUCAAUUGUAAGCUCAGUUGGGAAAUCAAUUUGGACGCACCCGUUGGAACUCCUAGAUUUGGUGAGUCAUAUGUAUUCUCACAUUGGUCCGUUUGGAGACAGUGUUAGUUUUGGGGCAUGAUAGGCGUACAUUUUGCGCCUAAUGCACCAUAGGCUAAGAAAGCAUUUUGGAUGCACCCGAUGGUACUCCUAGGUAAAGGGGUUCAAGUGAAAUCUUGGUUUGGUCUAUUUGGAGAUAGUGCUAAUCUUGAUGCAAGAUAGGUGCACAGUUUGCAUGGAACGUACCAUAUGCUCAGAAAUCAAUUUGGAUGCACCUGAUAGAACUCCUUGAUGACAUGUCAUAUGGAAUCUUGGUUCGGUCUGUUUAGAGACAUUGGUUAGUUUUGGUGCAAGAUAGGUACACGGUUUGCGCCUAGUUCACCAUAGACUAAGAGACCAUUUUUGACACACCCGAUGGUACUUCUAUGUGAAGGGGCUCAAGUGGAAGCUUGGUUUGGUCUGUUUGGAGAUAGUGCUAAUCUUAAGGAAAGAUAGGUGCACGGUUUGCAUGGAACAUACCAUAUGCUCAAAAAUCAAUAUGGACGCACCUGAUAGAACUCCUAGAUGAUGUUUGGAGAUAGUGUUAGUUUUAGUGCAAGAUAGGUGUAUGGUUUGCACCUAAUGCACCAUACUCUAAGAAAACAUUUUGGACACACUCGAUGGUACUCCUAGGUGAAGAGGCUCAAGUGGAAGCUUUGUUCUAUGUGUUUGGAGAUAGUGCUAACUUGAGGCAAGAUAGUUGCACGGUUUGCAUGGAACGUACCGUAUGCUCGGAAUUCAAUUUGGACGCACCAUACUCUAAGAAAACAUUUUGGACACAAUCGAUGGUACUCCUAGGUGAAGAGGGUCAAAUGGAAGCUCGGUUCGGUCUGUUUGGAGAUAGUGCUAACUUGAUGCAAGAUAGUUGCACGGUUUGCAUGGAACGUAUCAUAUGCUUGGAAAUCAAUUUGGAUGCACUCGAUGGAACUCCUAGAUGACGUGUGUCAUAUGUAAUCUUGCUGUGGUCCAUUUGGAGACAAUGUUAGUUUCAGUGCAAGAUAGGUGCAUGGUUUGCGUCUAAUGCACCAUUGGCUAAGAAACCAUUUUGGACACACCCAAUGGUACUCCAAGGUGAAGGGCGCAAGUGGAGGCUUGGUUUGGUCUGUUUGGAGAUAGUGCUAAUCUUUAGGAAAGAUAGGUGCACAUUUGCUUGGAACGUACCAUAUGCUUAGAAAUCAAUUUGGACGCAACCGAUAGAACUCCUAGAUGACGUGUGUCAUAUGGAAUCUUGCUUCAGUUCAUUUGGAGACAGUGUUAGUUUUGGUGCAAGCUAGGUGCAUAGUUUGUGCCGAAUGCACCAUAGUCUAAGAAACCAUUUUGGAUGCACCUAUUUGUACUCCUGGGUGAAGAGGCUCAAGUGGAAGCUCAGUUUGGUCUGUUUGGAGAUAGUGCUAAUCUUGUUGCAAGAUAGAUGCACAGUUUGCAAGGAACGUACCAUAUACUAAGAAAUCAAUUUGGACACACGAUGGAACUCCUAGAUGACAUGUGUCAUAUGGAAUCUCGCUUUCGUUCGUUUGGAGACAGUGUUAGCUUUAGUGCAAGAUAGGUGCACAGUUUGUGCCUAAUGUACCACAGGCUAAGAAACCGUUUUGGACACACUCGAUGGUACUCCUAGGUGAUGAGGGUCAAGUCGAAGCACGGUUCGAUCUGUUUGGAGAUAGUGCUAAUUUUGAUGUGAGAUACGUGCACGGUUUGCAUAGAACGUACCAUAUGCUCGAAAAUCAAUUUGGACGCACCAGAUGGAACUCCUAGAUGAGGUGUGUCAUAUGUAAUCUCGCUUUGGUCUGUUGGAGACAAUGUUAGUUUGGUGCAAGAUAGGUGCACGGUUUGCGCCUAAUGCACUAUAGGCUAAGAAACCAUUUUGGAUGCACUCGAUGGUACUCCUAGGUGAAGAGGCUCAAAAGAAAGCUCGAUUCAGUCUAUUUGGAGAUAGUGCUAAUAUUGAUUCAAGAUUGGUGCACAGUUUGCAUUGAACAUACCAUAUGCUUGGAAAUCAAUUUGGACGCACCCGAUGGAACUCCUAGAUGACGUGUGUCAUAUGGAUUCUGCUUUGAUAUAUUUGGAGACUAUGUUAGUUUAGGUGCAAGAUAGGUGCACGGUUUGCGCCUAAUGCACCAUAGGAUAAGAACCCAUUUUGGACGCACACGAUGGUACUCCUAGGUAAAGGGGCUCAAGUGAAAGCUCAGUUUGGUCUGUUUAGAUAUAGUGCUAAUCUUGAUGCAAGAUAGGUGCACGGUUUGCAUGGAACAUACCAUAUGCUCAUAAAUCAAUUUGAACAUACCUGAUAUACCUUCUUGAUGACAUGUGUUAUUUGGAAUCUCGAUUUGGUCCGUUUGGAGACGGUGUUAGUUUCAGUGCAAGAUUGGUGCAUGGUUUGUGCCAAAUACACCAUACUCUAAGAAAUCAAUUUGGACACACCCGAUGGUACUCCUAGGUGAAGAUCCUCAAAAGAAAGCUCGAUUUCGUCUAUUUAGAGAUAGUGCUAAUCUUGAUGUGAGAUAGGUGCACAGUUUNNNNNNNNNNNNNNNNNNNNNNNNNNNNNNNNNNNNNNNNNNNNNNNNNNNNNNNNNNNNNNNNNNNNNNNNNNNNNNNNNNNNNNNNNNNNNNNNNNNNNNNNNNNNNNNNNNNNNNNNNNNNNNNNNNNNNNNNNNNNNNNNNNNNNNNNNNNNNNNNNNNNNNNNNNNNNNNNNNNNNNNNNNNNNNNNNNNNNNNNNNNNNNNNNNNNNNNNNNNNNNNNNNNNNNNNNNNNNNNNNNNNNNNNNNNNNNNNNNNNNNNNNNNNNNNNNNNNNNNNNNNNNNNNNNNNNNNNNNNNNNNNNNNNNNNNNNNNNNNNNNNNNNNNNNNNNNNNNNNNNNNNNNNNNNNNNNNNNNNNNNNNNNNNNNNNNNNNNNNNNNNNNNNNNNNNNNNNNNNNNNNNNNNNNNNNNNNNNNNNNNNNNNNNNNNNNNNNNNNNNNNNNNNNNNNNNNNNNNNNNNNNNNNNNNNNNNNNNNNNNNNNNNNNNNNNNNNNNNNNNNNNNNNNNNNNNNNNNNNNNNNNNNNNNNNNNNNNNNNNNNNNNNNNNNNNNNNNNNNNNNNNNNNNNNNNNNNNNNNNNNNNNNNNNNNNNNNNNNNNNNNNNNNNNNNNNNNNNNNNNNNNNNNNNNNNNNNNNNNNNNNNNNNNNNNNNNNNNNNNNNNNNNNNNNNNNNNNNNNNNNNNNNNNNNNNNNNNNNNNNNNNNNNNNNNNNNNNNNNNNNNNNNNNNNNNNNNNNNNNNNNNNNNNNNNNNNNNNNNNNNNNNNNNNNNNNNNNNNNNNNNNNNNNNNNNNNNNNNNNNNNNNNNNNNNNNNNNNNNNNNNNNNNNNNNNNNNNNNNNNNNNNNNNNNNNNNNNNNNNNNNNNNNNNNNNNNNNNNNNNNNNNNNNNNNNNNNNNNNNNNNNNNNNNNNNNNNNNNNNNNNNNNNNNNNNNNNNNNNNNNNNNNNNNNNNNNNNNNNNNNNNNNNNNNNNNNNNNNNNNNNNNNNNNNNNNNNNNNNNNNNNNNNNNNNNNNNNNNNNNNNNNNNNNNNNNNNNNNNNNNNNNNNNNNNNNNNNNNNNNNNNNNNNNNNNNNNNNNNNNNNNNNNNNNNNNNNNNNNNNNNNNNNNNNNNNNNNNNNNNNNNNNNNNNNNNNNNNNNNNNNNNNNNNNNNNNNNNNNNNNNNNNNNNNNNNNNNNNNNNNNNNNNNNNNNNNNNNNNNNNNNNNNNNNNNNNNNNNNNNNNNNNNNNNNNNNNNNNNNNNNNNNNNNNNNNNNNNNNNNNNNNNNNNNNNNNNNNNNNNNNNNNNNNNNNNNNNNNNNNNNNNNNNNNNNNNNNNNNNNNNNNNNNNNNNNNNNNNNNNNNNNNNNNNNNNNNNNNNNNNNNNNNNNNNNNNNNNNNNNNNNNNNNNNNNNNNNNNNNNNNNNNNNNNNNNNNNNNNNNNNNNNNNNNNNNNNNNNNNNNNNNNNNNNNNNNNNNNNNNNNNNNNNNNNNNNNNNNNNNNNNNNNNNNNNNNNNNNNNNNNNNNNNNNNNNNNNNNNNNNNNNNNNNNNNNNNNNNNNNNNNNNNNNNNNNNNNNNNNNNNNNNNNNNNNNNNNNNNNNNNNNNNNNNNNNNNNNNNNNNNNNNNNNNNNNNNNNNNNNNNNNNNNNNNNNNNNNNNNNNNNNNNNNNNNNNNNNNNNNNNNNNNNNNNNNNNNNNNNNNNNNNNNNNNNNNNNNNNNNNNNNNNNNNNNNNNNNNNNNNNNNNNNNNNNNNNNNNNNNNNNNNNNNNNNNNNNNNNNNNNNNNNNNNNNNNNNNNNNNNNNNNNNNNNNNNNNNNNNNNNNNNNNNNNNNNNNNNNNNNNNNNNNNNNNNNNNNNNNNNNNNNNNNNNNNNNNNNNNNNNNNNNNNNNNNNNNNNNNNNNNNNNNNNNNNNNNNNNNNNNNNNNNNNNNNNNNNNNNNNNNNNNNNNNNNNNNNNNNNNNNNNNNNNNNNNNNNNNNNNNNNNNNNNNNNNNNNNNNNNNNNNNNNNNNNNNNNNNNNNNNNNNNNNNNNNNNNNNNNNNNNNNNNNNNNNNNNNNNNNNNNNNNNNNNNNNNNNNNNNNNNNNNNNNNNNNNNNNNNNNNNNNNNNNNNNNNNNNNNNNNNNNNNNNNNNNNNNNNNNNNNNNNNNNNNNNNNNNNNNNNNNNNNNNNNNNNNNNNNNNNNNNNNNNNNNNNNNNNNNNNNNNNNNNNNNNNNNNNNNNNNNNNNNNNNNNNNNNNNNNNNNNNNNNNNNNNNNNNNNNNNNNNNNNNNNNNNNNNNNNNNNNNNNNNNNNNNNNNNNNNNNNNNNNNNNNNNNNNNNNNNNNNNNNNNNNNNNNNNNNNNNNNNNNNNNNNNNNNNNNNNNNNNNNNNNNNNNNNNNNNNNNNNNNNNNNNNNNNNNNNNNNNNNNNNNNNNNNNNNNNNNNNNNNNNNNNNNNNNNNNNNNNNNNNNNNNNNNNNNNNNNNNNNNNNNNNNNNNNNNNNNNNNNNNNNNNNNNNNNNNNNNNNNNNNNNNNNNNNNNNNNNNNNNNNNNNNNNNNNNNNNNNNNNNNNNNNNNNNNNNNNNNNNNNNNNNNNNNNNNNNNNNNNNNNNNNNNNNNNNNNNNNNNNNNNNNNNNNNNNNNNNNNNNNNNNNNNNNNNNNNNNNNNNNNNNNNNNNNNNNNNNNNNNNNNNNNNNNNNNNNNNNNNNNNNNNNNNNNNNNNNNNNNNNNNNNNNNNNNNNNNNNNNNNNNNNNNNNNNNNNNNNNNNNNNNNNNNNNNNNNNNNNNNNNNNNNNNNNNNNNNNNNNNNNNNNNNNNNNNNNNNNNNNNNNNNNNNNNNNNNNNNNNNNNNNNNNNNNNNNNNNNNNNNNNNNNNNNNNNNNNNNNNNNNNNNNNNNNNNNNNNNNNNNNNNNNNNNNNNNNNNNNNNNNNNNNNNNNNNNNNNNNNNNNNNNNNNNNNNNNNNNNNNNNNNNNNNNNNNNNNNNNNNNNNNNNNNNNNNNNNNNNNNNNNNNNNNNNNNNNNNNNNNNNNNNNNNNNNNNNNNNNNNNNNNNNNNNNNNNNNNNNNNNNNNNNNNNNNNNNNNNNNNNNNNNNNNNNNNNNNNNNNNNNNNNNNNNNNNNNNNNNNNNNNNNNNNNNNNNNNNNNNNNNNNNNNNNNNNNNNNNNNNNNNNNNNNNNNNNNNNNNNNNNNNNNNNNNNNNNNNNNNNNNNNNNNNNNNNNNNNNNNNNNNNNNNNNNNNNNNNNNNNNNNNNNNNNNNNNNNNNNNNNNNNNNNNNNNNNNNNNNNNNNNNNNNNNNNNNNNNNNNNNNNNNNNNNNNNNNNNNNNNNNNNNNNNNNNNNNNNNNNNNNNNNNNNNNNNNNNNNNNNNNNNNNNNNNNNNNNNNNNNNNNNNNNNNNNNUUUGGAGAUAGUGCUAAUCCUUAUGCAAUGUAGGUGCAUGGUUUGCAUGGAACAUAGCAUAUGCUUGGAAAUCAAUUUGGAUGCACCCGAUAGAACUCCUUGAUGACGUGUGUCAUAUGGAAUCUCGCUUCGGUCCAUUUGGAGACAUUGUUAGUUUCGGUGCAAGAUAGUGCACAGUUUGCACCUAAUACACCAUAGUCUAAGAAACCAUUUUGGACGCACUUGUUGCUACUCCUAGGUGAAGGGGCUCAAGUGGAUUCUCGGUUCCAUCUGUUUGGAGAUAGUGCUAAUCUUGAUGCAAGAUACGUGCACGGUUUUCAUGGAACAUACCAAAUGCUUGGAAAUCAAUCUCGACACACAUGAUUGAACUCCUUGAUGACGUGUGUCAUAUGGAAUCUCGCUUUGGUGUGCUUAGAGACAGUAUUAGUUUUGGUAGAAGAUAUGUGGACGGUUUGCGCCUAAUGCACCAAAGUCUAGGAAACCAUUUUGGAAGCACCUGUUGGUACUCCUAGGUGAAGAGGCUCAAGUGGAGGCUCGGUUUGGUCUGUUUAGAGAUAAUUCCAAUCUUGAUGCAAGAUAGUUACACAGUUUGCAUGGAACGUACCAUAUGUUAAGAAAUCAAUUUGGACACAGCCAAUGGAACUCCUGGAUGACGUGUGUCAUAUGAAAUCUCGCUUCGGUCUGUUUGGAGACAAUGUUAGUUUCGGUGCAAGAUAAGUGCACGGUUUGCACCUAAGAAACCAUUUUGGACACACCCAAUGGCACUCCUAGGUCAAGGGGCUCAAGUGAAAGCUCGGUUUGGUCUGUUUGGAGAUAGUGCUAAUCUUGAUGCAAGAUAGAUGCACAGUUUGCAUGGAACAUACGAUAUGCUCACAAAUCAAUUAGGGCGCACCUGAUAUAACUCCUUUAUGAUGUGUGUCAUAUGGAAUCUUGCUUCGGUCGUUUAGAGACAGUGUUAGUUUUGGAAGAAGAUAUGUGCACGGUUUACGCCUAAGCAGCAUAGGCCAAGAAACCAUUUUAGACGCACCCGAUGGUGCUCGUAGUUGAAGAGGCUCAAGUGGAGGCUCGAUUUGGUCUGUUCGGAUAUAGUGCUAAUCAUGAUGCAAGAUAGUUGCACAGUUUGCAUGGAACGUACCAUAUGUUAAGAAAUCAAUUUGGAUCCACCUAAUGGAACUCCUAGAUGACGUGUGUCAUAUAAAAUCUCGCUUCGGUCUGUUUGAAGACAAUGAUAGCUUCGGUGCAAGAUAGGUGCAUAGUUUGUGCCUAAUGCACCAUAGUCUAAGAAACCAUUUUUGACGCACCUGUUUGUACUCCUAGAUAAAGAGGCUCAAGUGGAAGCUUGGUUCGGUCUGUUUGGAGAUAGUGCUAAUCUUGAUGCAAGAUAGGUGUAUGAUUUGCAUGGAACAUACCAUAUGCUCAAAAAUCAAUUUGGACACACCAGAUGGAACUCCUAGAUGACAUAUGUAAUAUGGAAUCUCCCUUCGGUCCGUUUAGAGACAGUGUUAGUUUCAGUGCAAGAUAGAUGCACGGAUUGCACCUAAUGCACCAUAGGAUAAGAAAUCAUUUUGGACGCACCCGAUGGUACUCCUAGGUCAAUGGGCUCAAGUGAAAGCUCGGUUUGGUCUGCUUGGAGAUAGUGCUAAUCUUGAUGCAUGAUAGAUGCACGGUUUGCAUGGAACAUACGAUAUGCUUAGAAAUCAAUUUGGACGCACCUCAUAUAACGCCUUGAUGAUGUGUGUCAUAUGGAAUCUUGCUUCGGUUCGUUUAGAUACAGUGUUAGUUUUGGUAGAAGAUAUGUGCACGAUUUACGCCAAAUACACCAUAGGCUAAGAAACCAUUUUAGACGCAUCCGAUGGUACUCGUAGUUGAAGAGGCUCAAGUGGAGGCUCGAUUUGGUUUCUUCGUAUAUAGUGCUAAUCUUGAUGCAAGAUAGUUGCAAAGUUUGCAUGCAACGUACCAUAUGUUAAGAAAUCAAUUUGGACGCACCCAAUGGAACUCCAAGAUGACGUGUGUCAUGGAAUCUCGCUUUGUUUGUUCAGAGACAAUGUUAGUUUCGGUGCAAGAUAUGUGCACGGUUUGCGCCUAAUGCACCAAAGUCUAAGAAACCAUUUUGGAAGCACCUAAUGGUACUCCUAGGUGAAGAGGCUCAAGUGGAGGCUCGGUUCGGUCUUUUUAGAGAUAGUGCUAAUCUUGAUGCGAAAUAGGUGCACGGUUUGCAUGGAACAUACAAUAUGCUUGGAAAUCNNNNNNNNNNNNNNNNNNNNNNNNNNNNNNNNNNNNNNNNNNNNNNNNNNNNNNNNNNNNNNNNNNNNNNNNNNNNNNNNNNNNNNNNNNNNNNNNNNNNCUCGGUUCACUCUUUUUGGAGAUAGUGCUAAUCUUGAUGCUAGAUAGGUACACAGAUUGCAUGGAACGUACCAUAUGCUCGAAAAUCAAUUUGGACGCACCCGAUGGAACUCCUAGAUGAUGUGUGUCAUAUGUAAUCUCACUUUUGUUCGUUUGGAGACAGUGUUAGUUUCGGUGCAAGAUAGGUGCAUGGUUUGCGCCUAAUCCACCAUAGGCUAAGAAACCAUUUUGGAUGCACCCGAUGGUACUCCUAGGUAAAGGGGCUCAAGUGAAAGUUAUGUUUUGUUUGUUUGGAGAUAGUCCUAAAUCCUAAUCUUCGUGUCAUGGUUUGCAUGUAACAUACCAAAUGCUCAAAAAUCAAUUUGGACGCACCCGAUAGAACUCCUAGAAGAUGUAUGUCAUUUAGAAUCUCGCUUUGGUCUGUAUGGAGAUAGUAUUAGUUUCAAUGCAAGAUAGGUGCAUGGUUUGCGCCUAAUGCACCAUACUCUAAGAAACCAUUUUGGACGCACCCAGUGGUACUCCUAGCUGAAGAGCCUCAAGUACAAGCAUAGUUUGGUCUAUUUAGAGAUAGUGCUAAUCUUAAUGCAAGAUAGUUGUACGGUUUGCAUGGAACGUACCAUAUGCUUGGAAAUCAAUUUGGACACACCCAAUGGAACUCCAACUCCUAGAUGAGGUGUGUCAUAUGUGAUCUCGCUUUGGUCCGUUUGGAGACAGCGUUAGUUUCGGUGCAAGAUAAAUGCACGGUAUGCACCUAAUGCACCAUAGGCUAAGAAACCAUUUUGGACGCACCCGAUGGUUCUCCUAGGUAAAGGGGCUCAAUGAAAGCCACGUUUUGUCUGUUUGGAGAUAGUCAUAAUCAUCAUAUAAGAUAGAUGCAUGGUUUGCAUGUAAGGUACCAUACGCUUGGAAAUCAAUUUGGACGCACCCAAUAGAACUUCUACAUGACUCGAGUUAUAUGGAAUCUCGCUUCGGUCUGUUCGAAGAUAGUGUUAGUUUCGGUGCAAGAUAGGUGUACCGUUUGCGCCUAAUGCACCAUAGGCUAAGAAACCAUUUUGAAUGCUCCCGAUGGUACUCCUUGGUAGAGUGGCUCAAGUGAAAGCUUGGUUUGGUCUAUUUGGAGAUAGUGCUAAUCAUGAUGCAAGAUAGGUGCAUGGUACGCAUGGAACGUACCAUAUGCUCAAAAAUCAAAUUGGACGCACGCGAUAGAACUCCUUGAUGACGUGUGUCGUAUGGAAUCUUGCUUCGGUCCGUUUGGAGACAGUGUUAGUUUUAGUGCAAGAUAUGUGCACGGUUUGUGCCUAGUGUACCAUAGGCUAAGAAACCAUUUUAGACGCACCCGAUGGUACUCCUAGGUGAAUAGGCUUAAGUGGAAGCUCGGUUUGGUCUAUUCAGAGAUAGUGCUAAUCUUGGUGCAAGAUAGGUGCAUGGUUUACAUGGAACGUACAAUAUGCUCAGAGAUCAAUUUGGACUGACCAAAUGGAACUCCUAGAUGACGUGUGUCAUAUGGAAUCUUGCUUGGGUCCGUUUAGAGACAUUGUUAGUUUCGGUGCAAGAUAGGUACAUGGUUUGCACCUAAUGCACCAUAGGCUAAGAAACCAUUUUGGACACACCUGAUGGUACUCCUGGUGAAGGUCUGGCUCAAGUGGAAGCUUGGUUUGGUCUGUUUGGAGAUAGUGCUAAUCUUGAGGAAAGAUAGCUGCACGGUUUGCAUGGAACGUACCAUAUGCUCAGAAAUCAAUUUGGACGCACCUGAUGGAACUCCUUGAGGACGUGUGUCAUAUGGAAUCUCACAUUGGUCCAUUUGGAGAUUAUGUUAGUUUUGGUGCAAGAUAGGUGCACGGUUUGCGCCUAAUGCACUAUAGGCUUAGAAACCAUUAUGGAAGCACCCGAUGGUACACCUAGGUGAAGAGGCUCAAGUAAAGCUCGAUACGAUCUAUUUGGAGAUAGUGCUAAUCUUCGUGUAAGAUAGGUGCACGGUUUGCAUGGAAUCUUGCAUCGGUCUGUUUAGAGACAGUGUGAGGUUUGGUGCAAGAUUGGUGCACAGUUUGCGCCUAAUGCACCAUAGGAUAUGAAACUGUUUUGGACACACCUGAUGGUACUCCUAGAUGAAGGGGCUCAAGUGGAAGCUUGGUUUAUUCUGUUUGGAGAUAGUGCUAAUCUUGAUGCAAGAUAGGUGCAUGGUUUGCAUGGAACGUACCAUAUGCUAAGAAAUCAAUUUGGACGCACGCGAUGGAACUCCUAGAUGACGUGUGUCAUAUGUAAUCUCGCUUUGGUCUGUUUGGAGACAGUGUUGAUUUCGGUGCAAGAUAGGUGCAUAAUUUGCGCCUAGUGCACCAUAGGCUAAGAAACCAUUUUGGAUGCACUCGAUGGUACUCCUAGUCGAACAGGCUCAAAAGGAAGCACGAUUUAGUCUAUUUGGAGAUAGUGCUAAUCUUAUGCAAGAUAGGUGCAUAGUUUGCAUGGAACGCACCAUAUGCUCGAAAAUAAAGUUGUACGCACCUAAUGGAACUCCUAGAUAACGUGUCAUAUGGAAUCUCGCUUCGGUCCGUUUGGAGAUAGUGUUAGUUUUGAUGUAGAUAGGUGCAUAGUUUGUGCCUUAUGCGCCAUAGUCUAAGAAACCAUUUUGGACACACCUAUUAGUACACCAAGGUGAAGAGGCUCAAGUGGAAUCUCGGUUUGGUUUGUUUGGAGAUAUUGCUAAUCUUGAUGCAAUAUAGGUGCACGGUUUGGAUGGAACGUACCAUAUGCUCAGAAAUCAAAUUGGACGCACCCGAUGGAAGUCCAAGAUGACGUGUGUCAUAUGUAAUCUCGCUUUGGUCCGUUUGGAGAUAGUGUUAGUUUCGGUGCAAGAUAGGUGCACGGUUUGCGCCUAAUGCACCAUAGGCUAUGAAACCAUUUUGGAUGCACCUGUUGGUACUCCUAGGUGAGGAGGCUCAAGUGGAAGCCUUGUUCGGUCUGUUUGGAGAUAUAGCUAAUCUUGAUGCAAGAUAGGUGUAUAGUUUGCAUGGAACGUACCAUAUGCUCAAAAAUCAAUUUGGACGCACGUGAUGGAACUGCAAGAUGAUGUGUGUCACAUGGAAUCUCGCUUCGGUCCGUUUGGAGACAAUGUUAGUUUCAGCGCAAGAUAGGUGCAUAGUUUGUGCCGAAUACACCAUAGUCUAAGAAACCAUUUUGGGUGCACCUAUUGGUACUCUUGGCUGAAGAGGCUCAAGUGGAAUCUCGGUUUGGUCUGUUUGGAGAUAAUGCUAAUUUUGAUGCAAGAUAGGUGCACGGUUCGUAUGAAACAUACCAUAUGCAUGGAAAUCCAUUUGGAAGCACCAGAUGGAACUCCUAGAUGACGUGUGUCAUAUGGAAUCUCGCUUCGGUCUGUUUGGAGACAGUGUUAGUUUCGGUGCAAGAUAGGUGUACCGUUUGCGCCUAAUGCACCAUAGGCUAAGAAACCAUUUUGGAUGCACCCGAUGGUACUCCUUGGUAGAGGGGCUCAAGUGAAAGCUUGGUUUGGUCUGUUUGGAGAUAGUGCUAAUCUUGAUGCAAGAUAGGUGCAUGGUUUGCCUGGAGUGUACCAUAUGCUCAGAAAUCAAUUUGGACGCACCCGAUAGAACUCCUUGAUGACGUGUGUCCUAUGGUAUCUUGCUUCGGUCUGUUUGGAGACAGUGUUAGUUUUGGUGUAAGAUAUGUGCACGGUUUGUGCCUAUGCACCAUAGGCUAAGAAACCAUUUUAGACACAGCCGAUGGUACUCCUAGGUGAAGAGGCUUAAGUGGAAGCUCAGUUUGGUCUGUUCAGAGAUAGUGCUAAUCUUUAUGCAAGAUAAGUGCACGGUUUACAUGAAACGUACGAUAUGCUCGGAAAUCAAUUUGGACAGACCAAAUGGAACUCCUAGAUGACGCUUGUCAUAUGGAAUCUCGCUUCAGUCUGUUUGGAGACAGUGUUAGUUUUGGUGCAAGAUUGGUGCACAGUUUGCGCCUAAUGCACUAUAGGCUCAGAAGCUAUUUUGGAAGCCCCCGAUGAUACUCCUAGGUGAAGAGGCUCAAGUGGAAGCUCGGUUCGGUCUCUUUGGAGAUAGUUCUAAUCUUGGUGCAAGAUAGGUGCAUGAUUUCCCUAGAACAUACCAUAUUCUCAAAAAUCAAUUUGGACGCACCUAAUGGAACUCUUAGAUGAUGUGUGUUAUAUGGAGUCUCACUUUGGUCUAUUUGGAGACAAUGUUAGUUUCAGUGUAACAUAGGUGCACGGUUUACCCUGAAUGAUCCAUAGGCUCAAAAACCAUUUUAGACGCACCCGAGGGUACUCCUAGGUAAAGAGGCUCAAGUGGAAGCUCAGUUUGGUUCAUACAGAGAUAGUGCUAAUCUUCAUGCAAUAUAGGUGCACGGUUUACAUGGAACAUACCUUAUGCUCAGAAAUCAAUUUGGACACACCCGAUGGAACUCGUAGAUGACGUGUGUCACAUUGAAUCUUGUUUCGGUCUGUUUGGAGACAAUGUUAGUUUCGGUGCAAGAUAGGUGCACGGUUUGUGCCUAAUGCACCAUAGGCUAAGAAAUUAUUUUAGAUGCAUCUGAUGGUACACCUAGGUAAAGGGGUUCAAGUGGAAGCUCGGUUUGGUCUGUUCGGAGAUAGUACUAAUUUUGAUGCUAGAAAGGUGCACAGUUUGCGUGGAACGUACCAUAUGGUCGGAAAUAAAUUUGGCCGUACCCAAUGGAACUCCUAGAUGACGUGUGUCAAAUGGAAGCUUGCUUCGGUCUGUUUGGAGAUAGUGUUAGUUUCAGUGCAAGAUAGGUGCACAGUUUGUGCCUAAUGCACCAUAGGCUAAGAAACCAUUUUGGACACACCCGAUGGUACUCCUAGGUGAAGGGGCACAAAUGGAAGAUCAGUUUGGUCUGUUUGGAGAUAGUGCUAAUCUUGAUGCAAGAUAGGUGCACGGUUUGCAUGGAACGUACCAUAUGCUCAAAAAUCAAUUUGGACACACUAGAUAGAACUCCUUGAUGAUGUGUGUCAUAUGGAAUCUUGCUUUGGCCCGUUUAGAGAUAGUGUUAGUUUUAGCGCAAGAUAGGUACAUGAUUUGCGUGGAACGUACCAUAUGAUCGAAGAUCAAUUUGGACACACCCGAUGGAACUCCUAGAUGACGUGUGUCAUAUGAAAUCUCGCUUUGGUCUGAUUGGAGAUAGUGUUAGUUUCAGUGCAAGAUAGGUGCACGAUUUGCGUCUAAUGCACUAUAAUCUAAGAAACCAUUUUGGACGCACCCGAUGGUACUGCUAGGUGAAGUGGCUCAAGUGGAGACUUGUUUCGGUGUGUUUGGAGAUAGUGCCAAUCUUGAUGCAAGAUAGUUGCAUAGUUUGCAUGGUACGUACCAUAUGCUCAGAAAUCAAUUUGGAGGCACCUAAUGGAACUCCUAGAUGACACACCUGUUGGUACUCCUAGGUGAGGAGGCUCAAGUGGAAUCUCUGUUCGAUCUGUUUGGAGAUCGUGCUAAUCUUGGUGCAACAUAGGUGCACGGUUUGCAUGAAACGUAGCAUAUGCUCGGAAAUCAAUUUGGACACACUCGAUGGAACUCCUAGAUGGCGUGUGUCAUAUGGAAUCUCACUUUGGUCUGUUUGGAGCCAGUGUUGAUUUCAGUGCAAGAUAGGUGCAUGGUUUGUGCUCAAUGGUACUCAUAGUUUAAAGGGCUCAAUUAGAAACUUGGUUUGGUCUGUUCAGAUAUAGUGCUAAUCUUGAUGCAAAAUAGGUGCACAAUUUGCGUGGAACGUACCAUAUGCUCAGAAAUCAAUUUGGACGCACCCGAUGGAACUCCUAGAUGAUGUGUGUCAUAUGGAAUCUCACUUUAGUCCAUUUGGAGAGUGUUAGUUUUGGUGCAUGAUAGAUGCACGGUAUGCGCCUAAUGCACCAUAGGGUAAGAAACCAUUUUGGAUGCACUCGAUGUUACUCCUAAGUAAAGGGGCUUAAGUGGAAUCUCGGUUUGGUUUGUUUGAAGAUAGUGCUAAUCUUGAUGCAAGAUAUGUGCACGGUUUUGCAUUGGAAGUCAAUUUGGAUGCACCUGAUGGAACUCCUAGAUGACGUGUGUCAUAUGGAAUCUCACUUCAGUCUGUUUGGAGAGAAUGUAAGUCUCGGUGCAAGAUAGGUGCAUGGUUUGCACCUAAUGCACUAUAGGCUAAGAAACAGUUUGGAUGCACCUGAUGGUACUCCUAGGUAAAUGGGCAAAAGUGGAAGCUCGGUUUGGUCUGUUUGGAGAUAGUGCUAAUCUUGAUGCAAGAUAGGGCCACGGUUUGCAUGGAACAUACCAUAUGCUCGAAAAUCAAUUUGGACGCACCCGAUAGAACUCCUAGAUGACGUGUGUCAUAAGGAAUCUUGCUUUGGUAUAUUUGGAGAUAGCGUUAGUUUCGGUGCAAGAUAGGUCCACGGUUUGCGCCUAAUGCACCAUAGACUCAGAAACCUUUGUGGAAGCACCCGAUGAUACUCCAAGGUGAAGAGGCUCAAGUGGAAGCUCGGUUGGGUCUGUUUAGAGAUAGUGCUAAUCUUGAUGCAAGAUUGAUGUACGGUUUGCAUGGAACAUAUCAUAUGCUCGGAAAUUAACUUGGACACAUCCGAUUGAACUCCUAGAUGACGUGUGUCAUAUGGAAUCUCGCUUCGGUCUGUUUGGAGAAAGUGCUAGUUUCGGUGCAAGAUAGGUGCACGAUUUGCGCCUAAUGCACCGAAGGCUAAGGAACCAUUUGGACACACCUGAUGGACAUGCAGGUAAAGGCGCUCGAAUGGAAAUUAGGUUUGGUCUAUUUUCAUAAGUGCUAAUCUUGAUGCAAGAUAGGUGCACAGGUUACGUGGAACGUACCAUAUGCUCGGAAAUCCAUUCGGAUGCACCCAAUGGAACUAGAUGACGUGUGUCAUAUGGAAUUUAAAAUCCCUCCAUUUGGAGAUAGUGUUAGUUUUGGUGCAAGAUAGGUGCAUGGUUUGCGUGGAAUGUACCAUAUACUUAGAAAUUAAUUUGGAUGCACCCGAUGGAACUCCUAGAUGACGUGUGUCAUAUGAAAUCUCCCUUUGGUCUGUUUGGGGACAGUAUUAGUUUUGGUGCAAGAUAGGUGCACAGUUUGAACCUAAUGCACCAUAGGCUAAGAAACCAUUUUGGAUGCACCCCAUGGUACUCCUAGGUAAAUGGGCUCAAAUGGAAUUUAGUUUGGUCUGUUUGGAGAUAGUGCUAAUCUUGAUGCAAGAUAGGGGCAUGUUUUGCAUGGAACGUACCAUAUGCUCGAAAAUCAAUUUGGACGCACCCGAUAGAACUCCUAGAUGAUGUGUGUCAUAUGGAAUCUUGCUUCGGUCUAUUUGGAGAUAGCGUUAGUUUCGAUGCGAGAUAGGUGCACGGUUUGCAUGGAACGUACCAUAUGCUCGAAAAUCAAUUUGGACGCAACCGAUGGAACUCCUAGAUGACAUGUGUCAUAUGGAAUCUCACUUCGGUCUGUUUGGAGAAAGUGUUACUUUCGGUGCAAGAUAGGUGCACGGUUUGCGCCUAAUGCACUGGAGGCUAAGAAACCAUUUUGGACACACCUGAUGGACACAUAGGUAAAGGUGCUCAAAUGGAAAAUAGGUUUGGUCUCUUUUGAGAAGUGCUAAUCUUGAUGCAAGAUAGGUGCACAGGUUGCGUGGAACGUACCAUAUGCUCGGAAAUCAAUUUGGAUGCACCCGAUGUAACUAGAUGAUGUGUGUCAUAUCGAAUUUUACUUCGCUCCAUUUGGGGAUAGUUUUAGUUUUGGCGCAAGAUAGGUGCACAGUUCGCGCCUAAUGCACCAUAGGCUAAGAAACCAUUUUGGAGACACCAUUGGUACUCCUAGGUGAAGGGGCUCAAAUGGAAGAUCAGUUUGGUCUAUUUGGAGAUAGUGCUAAUCUUGACGCAAGAUAGGAGCAUGGUUUGUGUGGAACAUACCAUAUGCUCAGAUAUUAAUUUGGACACCCAAUACUAGAUGACGUGUGUCAUGUGCACUCUCGCUUUGGUCCUUUUGGAGACAGUGUUAGUUUCGUUGCAAGAUAGAUGCACGGUUUGCGCCUAAUGCACCAAAGUCUAACAAAACCAUUUUGGACACACUUGAUGGUACUCCUAGGUGAAGAGGCUCAAGUGGAAGCUCAGUUUGGUCUAUUUAGAGAUAGUGCUAAUCUUGAUGCAAGAUAGGUGCACAGUUUGGAUCGAACGUACCAUAUGCUCAGAAAUCAAUUUGGGCGCAACCGAUAGAACUCCUAGAUGACAUGUGUCAUAUGCAAUCUCACUUUAGUCUGUUUGGAGACAGUGUUAGUUUUGGUGCAUGAUAGGUGCAUGGUUUGCGCCUAAUGCACCAUAAGCUAAGAAACCAUUUUGGAUGCACUCAAUGUUUCUCCUAGGAAAAGGGGCUUAAGUGGAAGCUUGGUUAGGUUUGUUUGGAGAUAGUGCUAAUCUUGAUGCAAGAUAGGUGCACGGUUUGCAUGGAACGUACCAUAUACUCAAAAAUCAAUUUGGAUGCACCCGAUGGAACUACUAGAUGACAUGUGUUAUAUGGAAUCUCACUUCAGUCUGUUUGGAGGCAGUGUUAGAUUCGAUGCAAGAUAGGUGCACGGUUUGGAUCUAACGCACCAUAGGCUUAGAAACUAUUUUGGAUGCACCCUCCUAGGUAAAUGGGCUCAAAUGGAAGCUCAGUUUGGUCUAUUUGGAGAUAGUGCUAAUCUUGAUGCAAGAUAGGGGCACAGUUUGCAUGGAACGUACCAUAUGCUCAAAAAUCAAUUUGGACGCACCCGAUAGAACUCCUAGAUGACGUGUGUCAUAUGGAAUCUUGCUUCGGUCUAUUUGGAGAUAGCGUUAGUUUCGAUGCAAGAUAGGUGCACAGUUUGUGCCUAAUGCACCAUAGACUCAGAAACCAUUAUAGAAGCACCCGAUGUUACUCCAAGGUGAAGAGCCUCAUGUGGAAGCUCGUUUCGGUCUGUUUGGAGAUAGUGCUGAUCUUGAUGCGAGAUAGGUGCACUGUUUGCAUGGAACGUACCAUAUGCUCGGAAAAAUCAAUUUGGACGCAACCGAUGGAACUCCUAGAUGACAUGUGUCAUGGAAUCUCGCUUUGGUCUGUUUGGAGAAAGUGUUAGUUUCGGUGCAAGAUAGGUGCACGGUUUGUGCCUAAUGCACCAGAGGCUAAGAACCCAUUUUGGACACACCUGAUGGAUAGGUAAAGGCGCUCAAAUGGAAAAUAGGUUUGGUCUGUUUUGCAUGGAACAUACCAUAUGCUCGAAAAUCAAUUUGGAUGCACCCGAUGGAACUAGAUGAUGUGUGUCAUAUCAAAUUUUACUUCGCUCCAUUUGUGGAUAGUGUUAGUUUUGGUGCAAGAUAGAUGCACAGUUUGCACCUAAUGCACCAUAGGCUAAGAACCGUUGGUACUCCUAGGUGAAGGGGCUCACAUGGAAGAUCGGUUUGGUCUAUUUGGAGAUGGUGCUAAUCUUGACACAAGAUAGGAGCAUGGUGUGUGUGGAACAUACUAUAUGCUCAGAUAUUAAUUUGGACACCCAAUACUAGAUGAUGUGUGUCAUGUGCAAUCUUGCUUUGGUCCAUUUGGAGAUAGUGUUAGUUUCAGUGCAAGAUAGAUGCACGGUUUGCGCCUAAUGCACCAAAAUCUAACAAAACCAUUUUGGACACACUUGAUGGUACUCCUAGGUGAAGAGGCUCAAGUGGAAGCUCAGUUUGGUCUAUUUGGAGAUAGUGCUAAUCUUGAUGCAAGAUAGGUGCACGAUUUGGAUCGAACGUACCAUAUGCUCAGAAAUCAAUUUGGACGCAACCGAUAGAACUCCUAGAUGACGUGUGUCAUAUGCAAUCUCACUUUAGUCUGUUUGGAGACAGUGUUAGUUUUGGUGCAUGAUAGGUGCAUGGUUUGCGCCUAAUGCACCAUAAGCUAAGAAACCAUUUUGGAUGCAGUCAAUGAUAGGGGCUUAAGUGGAAGGUCGGUUGGGUUUGUUUGGAGAUAGUGCUAAUCUUGAUGCAAGAUAGGUGCAUGGUUUGCAUGGAACGUACCAUAUACUCGAAAAUCAAUUUGGAUGCACCCGAUGGAACUCCUAGAUGACGUGUGUUAUAUGGAAUCUCACUUCAGUGUGUUUGGAGGCAGUGUUAGUUUCGGUGCAAGAUAAGUGCACGGUUUGGACCUAAUGCACCAUAGGCUAAGAAACCAUUUUUGAUGAGGACAUCAACACCAGCGAUACAUCCUCUCCUACAUCCUCUCCGACACAACCUAUAGCUGGUCCUACAUCUCCGACACAACCUAUAGUUGGUCCUACAUCCUCUCCGACACAACCUAUAGCUGGUCCUCUUACUCGUGCUCGUGCCCGUCAACUCAACCUUCAAGUAAGUUCAGUUUUAAACUCUUGUCAAUCAUAUUUAGACAAUGGAGACACGUGCACUUUCGUGUUGCUCAGGAAUAAUGGACAAGAUCAGCAAGGGAAGGUUCAACUGCAUUCAGAAUUUGAGGCAACACCAACUUCAAGGGCUGAUUGCAUAUGGGAAGAGUGAUAACUUAACAAAGGUGAUUGGAGAUCAGGUCCAAGCCUCCACAACAUCCUCUAUCAAGUUACCACGUCGCUUCUAAAGCAAGGAAACAAAGAGUCCAAACCCAACACGUUUUGGGAGUUGGAUUCGGACUGGAAAAUAACUCUAACUUGUAUGGAUCACCACGGCGUCAUAUGGACUCCAACUCGGACGUUCCCAUACUUGUUGGAAAGCUCAUGAAGUCUACUUUCCAAUGGGUCCAACCACAUAUCUAUGCAGCUUAUGAGUCGGGUGCAGUCCUUGUUUUCGUGCCGACACCUUUUUCUGUUUUGGUGCUGCGUCACCCUAUUUUGGACCAAUGGCCCAUGUAUCAAGUUGAGUCCAUUAGGGACGCGUCCUAGGGUUGGAGGACGACUCUAGCACCCCUUUGGUCGUCCUCCCCUCUAUUUAUUUACAUCUAGAGCCGCCAUGAACUGGGUUUUGUUUAGAUCAAGUUUAGCCUUCGCUACUUGCUUGUAGGCGCGCGUGCAGGAUCAGCCGCCCGUCUCCUUGUCUUCGGAACCCCAUUGUUGAUUCAGAUUCAGUUUGAAACCUUCAAUUCAUCUUGCGAAUUCAGUGCUUGUUUCCUCGUUCUUGCUAGUUCUUCGAUUGCUUGCAGGACGGGAGCCCUAGGGACUGGUUGUCGCGCUCCACAAGAUCAUGACGGCUGUUGGACGUGGUGUAUCGGUUGCUAAGGCGCAGUCUUGAGGGCUGUAGUCGGGCCGUGAACGUCAUCUCCAUCCACUAAUCGAGUUAUCCAGCGCCUCUCAUCGAAAGAUCAGGCCAAAAACCCUAGCGGGUUCGCAUCAGUUGGUAAUCAGAGCAAGGUUCUUCGGUGAGAGACUUCUAAUCCUUUGCUGUUUUUAAUUAAUUUCCUAUAGUCCAGAAAAGCCAAAAAAAAUAUAGUAGAUUAGUUUUUUCAUAAUCCUAUUAAACCUUUGUGCCUUGGCUAGUACCGUUUUAGUUAGGGCUUGUUGAAUUUGCGUUGCUUCGGUUUGUGUCGAGUUGCUGGUCUUAGUGUCUAGUCCUUUAGAGUUUCGAGUUCUUGUCACCAUCUAUACACAGCCGAGUAUUACCAUAUCUUCUCUCUGUCGAAUCUGUUGUGAAGUCCGAAUUGAACUGUGAUCCAAAAAGAAAGAUAACUCCAUACUUGUUCGGCCUUACUCUAGAGAGAGAGAGAGAGUGUGUGUGUGUGUAGCGAAUUGCUCUUUUGUAUUCCUUUGUUCAUAUAAUCAGUUUUUGAGGUUGCCCAAAAAAAAAGAAAAAAAAAGAAAAAAAAAGAAAAGAGAAAAGAUUCAAAAGAAAAAAAAGGGGCUGUUUUUCAUAUUGAUUUUAGGUUUCUUCCACCUUGUUUUCGGGGGUGUGCUGUGGUUUUCCUUUGUGUCCAGGCUCGCGUCUCUAGCACGGUCUAGCCUAGGACCAGCACAGUACCAUUGUCGAACGCUUAUUCAGCUCGCUUUUAUAACUAACGUGGUGCUAGUUCGUUCCUUGUUUCAGCCCACCUAUAGCUCCACAUACUCUAUAGCUUGACAGGUCUUGUGCUGCAGCAACGAUACACUUCGUCCAUUGCUGUACACUUGUUG